Molecule: long non-coding RNA, 48923 nt
Filed under: Gossypium barbadense (sea-island cotton)
Lineage: Eukaryota; Viridiplantae; Streptophyta; Magnoliopsida; Malvales; Malvaceae
Description: long non-coding RNA (GBAR_LNC021340)
Source: RNAcentral
GGUAGCUUAAUCGCAAUGCUGGAAUUAUGCCACACUGCUCUUCUGGUAAGUUCCAUAUCUCACUCUCAUAUAUUCUUUCCCAUUUUCCAUGAUAUUCAACCGUGCGAAGCAAGCUUCCAAUGGCUUUUGCAGCCAAAGGUAAGCCAUUGCACCUUCUAACAAUUUUCUCUCCAAUUUCUUUAAACUGGAGAUGUCCAUCGAAAUUUCUUGCUUUUAAUGCAUGCUGUGUAAAUAUGGAUAAACAAUCAUUAUCCGAUAGUUUAUCCAAAUAAAAAGCUUUGAGCGGAUCCACAAUAGAUGAAACAAUUUGAAGACGAGUGGUUACAAUGAUAUGGGUCCCUGCUCCAAACGGAGACCGUAAGAUGGUCCAAUCAUUAUAAUUCUCGUUCCAAAUGUCAUCUAAAACAAGCAAGAAUCUUUUCCCAGACAACUUCUCCUUCAACUUAACUUGAAGUAAAUUCAAGUCAUUCUCGUCACGAGAGUCAGGAUCGAUGGAUUUUAAAAUUGUCCUGGUUAUAUUAACUGCGUCAAAAUGAUCAGAAACGCAUACCCAGGCCUUGUGGUGAAAAGACUGGUUGAUGGUGGCAUCAUUGUAAACAAGCUGAGCAAGAGUUGUUUUACCCAUCCCUCCCAUGCCGACGAUGGAAAGGACUGAAACUCCGUUGGAGAUAUCACCUUUGAGAAACUCAAUCAUUUCUGUCUUCUCCUUGUGUCUGCCAACAUACUCCACAACUCCAUCCAGUACGGAAGUUGGUUGCAGCCUAGGCUGGUUUCCCUUGGAGGUUGGAGCUUGAGACAAGAUCUCACUCAACCCCAAACUAAUUCUUCGAGUAGUCAAACUAUUCAGUCUAGCAGUGAUCUCUUUCACCUUGGGAAUCAUGGAAUCCUUAAACAGGAAAGACGUGGGAGCGAAACUAGUACCAGUAAAGCAGGUAGGAAUGAGUUUCCGUACCUUGCUAGUGCUGGCUUGAGCUUGCGAUUUGUUGAGCUUGAGACGUAACUCUUCAUAAGCGAACUCAUCCAAGAUGUCAUCCACAUCGUAAGCCAAGUCCUGGAGAUCCUCCAACCAUUUCUUCACACCCGUGUUCUUGAUCUGCUUCUCCUCUGCAUCGUCCAACACUGCUUGGAUAUCAGGCAAUAUGGACUGCCACUGCUUGAGCUGUGGGCGGAGUUGGUUAUGAUGAGCAACAAAGUUGAGCGCAGAGUCGAGCAACUUGCCCCCCAACAGCUCCAGAAACACAGACAGAGCAGCCUCUCCAAUGACAGACAUGGUGAAAUUAUGAGAAGGAAGCAGAAGAGAGAAAUGAACAAAGCCAAAAUGGAAAGUCAGGGAACAAAAAAAGAAAGAAAGGGAAAUGGAAUCUGCAAAAUUAGAGAAAGUGGAAGAAGUUGGCACUAUUUUUUAAGCAUCCAAUAAUUCAGACUAUGAGUUGGGAAGGCACUGGGAUGUGAAAAAGGAUCCCAAGUGGUAGUUGAUAGGGAAAAGACAACGAAAGUGGAAAUUAAAGAGGUCCCAGUCCAUGAAAUUAUUGCACUCUCUUAUUUCUUAUCUCCCUGCAAUUAUUUGAAUAGCUUUUCUUUAAUUUUUCAUCUAUUUUAAUCAUUGAAUUUAUAUUUAUUUUUAUUAAAUCACUUCAAAAUAAAUAAAAAAACUUAAAAGAGUAUACAAUCUUAGCAAAGUUAAAAACAUUAAAAUUUUUAUUUAUUUUGAAGUAAAGUGAAUUAAAGUGUUUGCAACUCUAAAAUGGAUAGGACACUUAUGGCUUCGUGCACUAUUUGUUAGAAUGCAUGAAACACAAAUCUUAAGAUUAAAUUAAAUUCUAAAAAAAUAUUAAUACAAAUAAAAAUAGUAAAAUUUAGGAUGAAAAUAUUGAUGUGACAUUAAAUUAUUAAAAAUAGAUACAAAUGUCAUGGUAUUCCAAUUUUAUACUAUCAUUCCUCCAAAAUAAUUAUCUUUUUACAUCAUGUUUUUAUAAUAUAUGAUGUGACUUAAUGUUCCAUUUUUGGGAAACACUUUUAUAUUAAUUAAUUAUGAGAAAACCAUUUUUUAUGGAGAACUGUGUUUAUAUUAUAGAAAAGUAUGUUUGAGAAUAGGCUUAAUUUUGAUAAAUUCUUUAAUGAGAUGUGAUUAAUUUUAGAUUUAUUAUUUGAUUUCUGAUUCGGUGUAAAAAUAAACUUAAAAAGUGAAAAAGAGUCGGAAAUACGAGUUACCGUAAAAGUUUUGGAUUGAAGAACUAGUAGGACCAUGAUCUAUGUUUUGAGAACUUUAUAUUGGGAAUUCAUUUGUAAAAAAUAACAGUACUUUUAUUUUUUUAUUAGGAUAAUAUUUUAAUAUUUUAGUAUUUUUUAGAUGAGUUUAAGUAGGAUGAGGCAUUUUGAGUUUUAAUAUAUUUUUUUAAUGUAUAUUAUACCUUUUGGUUUUGGGCAGAAAUCGAUUGCAAAUGGAAUUUCUUUUCUUCUAUAUUUCUAAUUAUGUUCUUUCUUUUCCCAUUUUUCCCCUUCUUUUGUUGGUUUAUUUCUUUUAUUUAAUUCUUGUUGAACUCUUUAUUAGGAGUGUUUAAAUUCCGGGUAAAACUAAAUUAGUUCGGUUAAUCGAUUGAAUUCGAUUAAUCGGACGAUUAAUCAAAUUAAUUCAGUCAAGAGUCAGUUAAUAAUUUUUUUAAAAAUUCAGUUAAUGAUUAAUAAUUAAUAAUGAACUGAACAAAGUCAAAAUGGAAACCCAGGGACCAAAAUAGAAAGAAAGAGAGAUGGAUUCUGUGUAAUUAGCGAAAGUUGAAGAAGUUGGCACAAAGGUUUUUUUUUAGCAUCCAAUAAUUCAGGCCAUCACUUGGAAGACAUUGGAUUAUGAUGAAGAUGGACCCCAAGUGGUUGUUGAUGGGAAAAGACAAUGAAAGUGGAAAUUAAAGAGGUCCCAGUCCAUGAAAUUAUUGCACCCUCCCAUUUUUUCCGUCCCCGCAGUUAUUUGUAUAGCUUUUCUUUUGGGCAUAAGAAAUAAUUUUAACUCUUAAAUUUUUCUUACUAUCAAACCACUCUAAAAUAGGCCCGACAUACAUGUGAAUUAUCAUCUAGAAGACACAUUAACAUCUAAUUAAUUUUGAAUUUUUUUAAAAAAAUUAUUUUUUAACAAUAAAUUUUAAUUUUUAAAAAUAGUUUUUAUAGUUUUUUUAUUUUUAAAAUUUAAAAAAAUUAAUUAAGUGAAUGUUAGUAAAGUUAAAAAAACUUACAAAUUUAAGGGCUAAAAAAUAAAAAUUUAAAUAGAGAACUAAAAUAAUUUUUUUUAAAGUUGAAAAGUCAAAUAAACUAUUAUGUCUUUCUUUUAUUGGACCAAAAUGAAUUGAAGUGUCUGCAAUUCUGAAAUGGAUGGACUUAGUAUUUGGAUGCAUUAUUAUUUUUACUGGAGAUUUGGGAAUAGAUGGACUUUCUAUGGGCCCAUUUAACUAAUAGGUUUUAUUAUCACUUUAGCAAUUUUGGCGAUUUAGUCAGUUAAUCGAGAUUCGCAAUUAUUUUAUUUAUUGAUGCUAGCAAUGUACAGUGGUUAAAUAGGAACAUUUCUUCUUAAGACCUUUUAUUUUUUUUCAUCAUGUGGGAGUUUGAAUUAAUUCUCAUUUAUCUACUUCUAUCCAUGAUGGGGAAGAAACGUCUAUACUCGGCUACAAAAUUUAUUUUGUACACUGCAGGCGGUUCCAUUUUUCUAUUAAUAGGAGUUUUGCAUGCCGGUUUAUACGGUUCUAAUGAACCAACACUAAAUUUUGAAAUAUUAAAUAAUCAAUCAUAUCCUAUCGCAUUGGAAAUAAUAUUCUAUAUUGAAUUUCUUAUUACUUUUACUGUCAAAUCGUUGAUUAUACUCUUGCAUACAUGGUACUAUAUAAAAAAUUUCAAUAAAUAAAAAAUGAAUAAAAUUAUUAAAUAUUAAAAUAAUAUAAUAUAAAUAUUUAAAAAAAUUAAAAAUAAUAUGGACAGGGCUAAAAUGGGUUUGGAUUAAUAUUUUGUAAAUAUAGGCGGGCUUGAGCAACAUUUUAGGACCAAAUUUUGGGCUGGGUUGGGCUUGGAUAAACAUAAAGUAUAUUAAUAUCAUAUUUAGACCCAAUCAGCCCAUGAAUAUAUCUAGUAACAUGAACCUUUGUUUUUGAAUUUUGUCAUAGCUUUUGUCCAUUGUCCCUAUUUCCAAGUAAAAUGAACGUUGAGCUCCAUGCCAAUGGCAUCAAAAUAAUUAUUUCCAUUAACAUCAAAAAUUUCCAUGUCAUGCCUAUCUAUAUCGUGUUGUACAUGUAUUGUGUGUGAGCUUUUUUUUUCGGCCUGUUUUUGAAGAAUCGUGUUGGUGCUUCCUAGUAUUUUAAGGGCCCAUUCUUUUUCCCGUUUGAGAUGGACUUUUUCACUAAAAAGCCCUUUUCUCUUAAAAGGAACCAAGAACAACCUCCGUUUCUCUUACAAUUUCUCCAUCAGAGGCUAUUUUAUCAAAAUAGUCUAAAAAAAAUAUUAUAUUUACAAAAAUAAUCCAGGUUUAAAAACAAUCAAUAAAAUAACUUAAAAGGAACAAUAAAAUUGGGUUGUGGCCUGUCAAUGACCGGAACCCACUCGUAUUUUACACCUAUGAUUGCCUAAUAAUUGUGUCAAACUUAAAAAAAUUAAUUUUUUGGGUUUUGGCCUGUCAAUAGUCGAAACUCAUGUAUUUUUUUUUAAAUUGUAUAAUACUGAAAGGGGAGAGAGCUUCUGAAAGUUUUUUUUGUUGUUUUUUUUAAAAUGGGUUCAAAUGAAUUUUUUUUUGGAGAAAUGAGGGUAUUUAUAGGGCACCAAAACGGCAUUGUUUUGGAAAGCCCCAGACGCACAACACGGUGUCGUUUUGAGUACCCGACCUGACUCCGACCAGAUCCACUUUAGGAUCCGCGUGUUUUUUGAGCGGAGGGGCAAAUUACGCUUUUAGCCCCUCCGCCUUUUUAUAUAUUUUCAAUUAAGUACUCUUAUUUUUUUUAUUUGGCCUUUAAUUUAUUUUAAAUUCCAAUCAGAUCCAUUUGAACGGCGCCAUUUUAGAGGAGAAGGGAAAAUUUCCCUUCCAGCCCCUCUAUGUAAUUCGCGCGUUCAAAUUAGUCCUUUUACUUUUAUUUAUUUACGAAUUUACCCCAGAUUUUUAAAUUGCGAUUCAAUUUAGUUUUUUUAUGUUCUUUUUAUUUAUUUUAUUAAUUAAUAGUGUAAUCAUCAUUUUUAUUCUCAUUUUUUUAUCUAUAUAUAUAUUUCUUUUAUAAGUACACACAUAUAUAUAUAUAUAUUUUAACAAAUAUUUUCCUAUAUUUUUUUAAUGAAUAUUUUCAUAUUUAUAUGUAUAUAUUUACGUUUUUUCAAAUGGUUAAAUACUCACUUUUUUUCUUUUUUUUUGAGAAAUAUACUUAUUUUUUAUUAUUUUAUAUAUGUACGCAUAAUUAUAUUUUUCCUUUAUUUUCAUAAGUAUAUUAUGUAUUGUAUUUAUAUAUAAAAUUCUAUAACCCAAUUUUUUUUUUGUAAAUUAUAUGUAUAUUUUAAUCUUCAUAAUUUCCAUUUGUACGUCUUUUGGUUUUUAUUUAUUUGUUUGCUUUCCCAUUCAUUGUAUAAUUGUGUUUACAUUUAAUAUUUUGCAUGUCAUGGAUUACCCUUUUUUUAUUUCGUUUAUUCAUUUGCUUAUUUUUUUAUGUCAUUGAUGUAUUUAUUAUUGUUGUUAUUAUUAUUAUAGCAUUUGUACGUACAAAAUAACGUUACAUCAUUUUUACUCAAAUUUAAAGAUAAAAAUUUUUAAAAUUGAGAUAAUGUUCGUAUUUAGGAUUUUCAAGGAAAUUGAGCCCUAACGUAUUGGGUUCCGAUUUUCUUCGUUAAAUCUAACAAUCGAGCAUUUCUCUUCAAAUAAAAAAAUAAAAGCUCAUUAUUGGAAAUUCAACACGUUGUGUCCUAACGUAUUGGAUGUGACGCAUUGAUUUCUCGAAAUGAAGAUUUAAAAAAAAACAAUAAAGGAAAUAUUCCGAGUUUGAGAUUUUAAAGGAAUUGUGCCCUAACGUAUUGGGCCGCGAUUUCUUAAAUCUUGGAUAAAUGGAUAUUCUUUUAAUUAUUUUCAUUAUACGAGUAUUCUGGCCUAAUUCAUUUUGGAGGAAAUUAGAAUGUUGUGCCCUAAUGCAUUGGGUGUGGCAUUUUUGCUUCUUUGAAUUGAGAAGGGUCUUAAUACGUGACGUUUUAAGUUUUUUAAAGAUUAUAUUUUUCAAAUUUGCGACCUUAAGAUACUAAUUAAUUAAUUAGGUACCAAUUUUGGCGUACGAGGGUGCUAACCCUUCCUCGUACGUAACCGACUCCCGAACCCGCUUUUCUAAAAUUCGUAGACCAAAAUCGUUUUUUUAGGUGACCCAAUCACACCUUAAUAAAAUAUUGGUGGCGACUCCCAAUUUUCAUUUUUUAAAAGUCGAUAACUAAAAAUUUUGUUUUUCAAAAAAACGGUUUCGACAGGCUGGACCUCCUUUUUUUCUUUUUUCUUUUUUUCAAUCAUAUUUUAACAUUUUACAAAGAUUUCUUUAAUGGCUUGGAUUAUAUGAAAUUUAUUUAUAAAGAGAUGAGUUUUUUUUAAUGCGAAGCAACCAUGGUCAUCUGUUCCGCACCAUGGUUUCAGUCGUACCGAUCGGUGCCACCAUUUUAGUGCUAUAGUGCAUCCAGCAACACCCUCUUCCGUAUUAGUCUGUACCAUUCGCAUUGGUUUGUUUCGGUCAAUUUCAACCACACUGACUGGGACAUGGUGCACCAGCUGCUAUAUGAAUAAUAUUAAAAAAUAUAAAACUUUUAACUAUUUUCUAUUAGACUAAUAACUUACUUCGAAUGUAUUGACCAAUAAAAAAAUAUUACACUAAAAAAGUAAAGUUUAACAUUUAAAUUUUGUUAUGGAAUAUAUUUUUACAUUAAAAAAAUAAAAAUAAAAAUAUAACAAAAAAACUCACUCACUUUAUUAUCAUAGAAAAAUCUUCGCUCAUCCUUCAACUUCUUUUAUUGAAAAAAUCCCUUCUUUUUUCUUAUUUUUUUUUAAUUUAUUGAAUGAUGAGUUUUUUAUUUGUAGAGUUUAUUAAUCAAUAUUUUAUAUAAUUGAUGAAUAUUUUACAUUUGAAAUUUAUUCAGAAUCAUUUAUUUAGUAUUUGUAUAUUUAUUUAUAUAGAUAUAAAAUAUCAAUAAAUUCGAAACCAUAUAUUAAAAUAGACUAAUACCAGAAUGUACCAAUUCCAGUAGAAAAGUGGUAUAUCUACCAGUGUGGUGUUGACUACCUUUGAAAGGAAAUGAGUAAAAGCAUGUUGAGAUAUUAUUUUGAGUGGCUGUAAUAUUUGAUGCUUUGUUUUCUUUUGAGUAUUUUGGUUUGAUGCUUUUGAUUUGUGUUGAUAUUUGAGUGUAAUCAUUGAGAUAUAUAUGGCUAUCUCAUUUUUUUUAUGAUUUUUUUUGUAUUUACUGUAGUUUUUUUAUUAAUAAAAUUAUGUUUUGGAUUCAUAAAAAAAUUUAAGAAAUUCAAAACACAAAAACGAAAGUAGAGAAAAUGAACACAAUGAUUUACGUGGUUCGGAAUAUUUCCUACAUCCACGGGUAGAACCAAAAAUAAAAUUCACUACUAAAAAAUGGAGAUUACAAUAGAAUUACAUAAUAAAAUAACUCACCACAAUAACUAUCCACAAACUUUGAGCAAUCUUCUAAAUAAGCAUCAACUAUACACUUUCUACAAACUGAAAAAUACCUGGCAAUAAUAAAUAACAAGUGGCCAACAAUCUCAAAAUGUCAAAAACAAUACUUUAUUUAAAACAUCCUAACCUCUUAUCAAUCAUCAAUGGAGACCUAAGAUAGGUUGAUGAUUUGCGUAGAUAGAAAUAGAUGAUGCUAAAAGCAUUAAAAAAAAAAAAAACUUACCACUCCAUUCCUUUUGUCAACAUCUGUCGACCACCGACGUUGUGCUGUCGUUGUGCCCAUAAGCAGGUAUUGCCCUCUUUGGAUGCCCACCAUUCCAGGGUUUAUCACCCAAAGGUACGUACACCUCCCCAGUGGUACCAUUUGGCCUUUUAUCUGCCACCAAUUUCAUGGUUCCCAAAGCUGAAUGAAAGUAUAAGGCUAAAUAAGUAGCAUAUUUGGCUCCUCAACUACAACUUUGUACCAAGCACCAAAAUAUGAUCCAACACAGGAAAGGAAUGUCAGAAGAACAAAUUCUCCAUAUAACCUAUACUUGCCCUAUCACAAACAUUGAUAACAUCACAGUUGAAGCCUUUCGAAGCAGGGGAAAUUCAUAUAAAGAUUGGUAGAAAAUAUGCCAAUCUACCAGACCGGAAAGCUGAAAAGCCACAUUAAAAGAGAGCUGCAAUGAAACUAGUUCCAAACUGCUGCAGUAUAUAUAUCAUUUGAUUCAUUUAACUCAUAUCUCAAAGUCAAAAGCAAGAGAGUCGAUAUAUAGUGAGUCACUUAGUCGCUGCUAUUUUUGGGAACACUCGGGCUGGAAGUGAAAACCCCAAAUUGCAGCUCAGUGAACUCUGUUGUGUUUAUGUUAAAUUGAGCUCUCUAAUGCCUUGUUGUAACGUGUACUGUAUCCCUCCAUUCAUCCUGCAAGGAUCAAUACCAUGUCUACAGUGAUGACGAAAUCUGUUGGCACUGAUAUCCUUAUGCAAUAACAGAAAUCUAUCCACAAAGAUCAACAAACUAUCACGUAAAAGGCUUGUUCUUCUGAAACACCAUUGGUUAAUAGUACAACGAAAUCUCAAAUACUUUUAACUAAAAUCCCAUUCCCAUAUACCAAUCUCAUAGCAACUGCUUAGAAAUUAGAAGAUGCAGAUGAAAACAGAACAUUCAAUUUGCAGAAUAAAUGUUGCAGAGAAUUGACUAACCGCUUUACUAAAUCAAAUAAGCUGAAGCAGACCGGUUGAAGGUCUUCUCUAUUUUUCGCCAAUUUAGCCUUCAAUGCCUGCAAAAAGUAACUACAAAAUAUAUAACACCGAUUUCUAUUAUCGUGCUGUUCAUGAGGACAAUCAGAUAUAUAUAAAGAAAAGGUAUGAAAUUGAUAAAUGUUUAAAAUGCGUUUCACACCUGUGGUUUGAGUGUGGAGAAAUCGAUGCCCGAUUUUACUGUUUAAAUUUCAAUUAAAUCGGGAUGACUGUUUUCAUAUCAAUUUCAACAUAAGGUAUGUGGGCAAUCUUGGACCACUCUCGUCCUUUACCCCUACUGCACCCUCUUUCUAGCAACGGGCAAUGCAGAAUAGAUAGACGCUCAAGCGAGAGAAGCAUAUCUUUUUCCGGAAGAGAUGUGAGCUUAGGACAAUCAUUGAUUCGCAAUUUUUGAAGAGAGGUCAGGUAUUGAAAGCCCUUGGAGCACAUGAAUUCCAAAUUCUCAAAAUUUUCAAUGGAAAUUGAUUGGAGAGAAGGAGGCAGCGUCAUUCCUAUCCCUUCUUCUGGAAACGACACCACAUUUGAGCAUCCUUCACCAUUGAUUUUGAGUUUCUGAAGAGAGGUGAGUCUGUAAAAUCCCCAUUCAAGUAGUGAUGUAUAAAUUUUGGGUGCGUUUGAGAUUUCAAGUGAUGUGAGGUUGGUAGGGAAACCCUCUUCUGGAAAGAAUAUGUCAGCCGAACACUCCCUCACCUUUAAUUCUCGAAGGGAGGUGAAGUUGUUGAUGCACUUGGGAAGGAUGAGCUUGUUACCAGAUUUGGACACAAAUUUAAUCGAAUCUUUUGAAGAUGGCUGAGCUUGUCUAAUCCCCGCGGUAAUGAUUCAAUUUUUUCAGCACCACGAAUGCCAAUGCUUUCGAGAUCAAUGGUUUCAAGGAAGGCUUGGGUUAUGCAUUCCAACACUGGACAAUCCCAAAUAAAUAGCUUUUUAAGCAUUACGGGUAACUUGGCGUUUGAAAAUAACCUACUUAGCUUUGAACAAUCCCUAAUAUCGAGAUGUUGAAGCCGAUUGCAUAUAUCGCCCCUUGAUGAUAACCAUAUUAGAGAUGGACAGCAUUUUAUUUCCAAGCGCUCAAGAAGACAAGUGUUGCUACUCAUACUCUUAUUAUUAUUUUCUUUUUCAUCAACCAAAUAUUGCAAACCCGAGCAAUUCCAAAUCCACAGCUCUUUUAAAGCAGGAGGAAAGUUACUCUCUGCAAAACAAACCAAGCCUGGACAGUUUUCAAGUACUAUGAUUGUAAUCAAUGGGAAGGCAUGUAAGGCUUCUGGUAGUCUAUUGAGCCUUUCACAAUCCCUUAUGGUCAGAUAUUCAACCCCUGGAAUCUUGUCAAGUUGCAAUCUCUCCUCCUCUGUUUCCAAAGAGACCAAUUGCGGACAAUUCCAAAUCGUGAUGAAACGAUGCCCGACUAAUCUUAAGCCAAUUUGCGAUAAAGAUCCCAACUCCUUCCAACCAAAGAUGUAGAAUGCUUCGGAGUUUGCAAAUCUCAACAUUAUCCUCUCUGCUGAAAUAUUAAAUUUUGAAAUAUUUGAAACAGACACAACUUUGAAGGAGGUAACCUUCUGUACAGACAAAGAACCUUCAUCCACCAAUUCUUCACACCCUUCAACCCUUAAUACACACAGCAAGGGAAAACUUGAAAUUGAAACUACCAGUCUCUGACACUCAUAGAUAUCAAGUGUCUGCAAGGAUUGAAGGAUGGUUGGCAACCUUCCCAGCAAUAGAGGACAUUUUCGGAUUGAAAGAAAAUGAAGGCUAGGGAAUUUCGAUACUUGCUCAUCAUCUUCACAUAGGUCCCACUCCUCCCAAUUCAGCAUAUUGUCAAAACACAGAGACUCUAAUGAUGCAAAAGCAUUUGAUUGAUUUUCUCCAAACAACUCAGCACCAAUCUUGUGUACUUGAUCCAAACCACUAAUUGAAAGAUCUUUUAACAACAACCACCUUCCAAUGGAAGGUAGAGAUUUGCAAUUUUUACACUUGCGAAGCUCCAAUGACAACAUAUUUUUGAAGGAAGGAUCUGCAAUCCAAGUAGAGAAUUUUGCACCACCAUAAUUCUCAAUGACGAGUUGCUCAAGCUUUUUUGGAGGACGAAGAGAGUCCAACACCCAUUCUUCAACUUCUUUAUUCCUUGAAGCCUUUUUAAACUUUCCACUCCAAUGCAAUACCAAUCGAUGAAUCCCCUGCUUCUCAUUUAACUUGGCUUCCCCUGCAUCUUCACCAUUAACAUUCUCCAACCCAGAAAGACGGAAAUCACCUUCGAGGUUUGACAAAUAUUUCAAAUAUCUAAUAUGACAACCAUCACCUUUCGCUAUGAUAAAAUCAGAUAACCUUUGAAGAUUCGUUAGCUUAUCAAUUCUAAAAGGAAUCCUUUCUAUUGAGUUCGCACCUCUGAUAUCAAGAUAAUGCAAGUUGACAAGAUUUUCCAUCUUUGAAGGUAACCUUUGAAGCUUGUAACACCAAUGUAAUAACAAAGUUUCCAAAUGGUAAAGAGUGCACAAAGAAUCAGGUAAGCAUUCGAUAUCAGUGUAAGAAAAAUUUAAGUAGCGAAGAUGUUUUAAAUUUUCAAAAACAUCAGGCAACUCAGUGAUUUUAUACCUACUCAAAGAAAGCGUCCUUAAGUAGCCAAGUCUUGGUAACAAAUCAACCAAAACAACAUUAGUUAAAUAAGGCCACCGAUAAACACUAGUUAACAUUAAGGAUAAAAAAGUACGUAAGGAAUUCACUUGAUCAAAUGCUUCAAACUUCUUCACUGUGUCAUAUGUUCCAACAAUAUAAGAAGAAUGUCGAGUGCGAUUUGAGAACUUCCAUUUCUUAUCACCCUCUAAUUUUGAGCAUAUUUCCCCUGCAACUACUUGAGCUAAAUCAUUGAUAAGGUCAUGCAUUACGAAUCGGGACUUAUCUUUACUGGAUGUCUGAAAAAAUGACCUCGACACUAGAUCUUGAAAAUAUUGAUUUCCAAGAUCUUUAAUUUGAGGCAUAGCUUUUUGUUGCAAGAGACCUUCUGCUCUCCAUAACAAGAUAAUUUCUUCUUCCCCAAAUUCAUAAUCUUUAGGAAGUAUGGAGCAAUAUGCAAAACAUCGUUUCAAGUUUGACGGAAGAUGAUGGUAGCUUAAUCGCAAAGCUGGAAUUAUGCCACACUGCUCUUCUGGUAAGUUCCAUAUCUCACUCUCACAUAUUCUUUCCCAUUUUCCAUGAUAUUCAAUCGUGCGAAGCAUGCUUCCAAUGGCUUUUGCAGCCAAAGGUAAGCCAUUGCAUCUUCUAACAAUUUUCUCUCCAAUUUCUUUAAACUGGAGAUGUCCAUCGAAAUUUUUUGCUUUUAAUGCCUGCUGUGUAAAUAUGGAUAAAAUAGUUUAUCCAAAUGAAAAGCUUUGAGCGGAUCCACAAUAGAUGAAACAAUUUGAAGACGAGUGGUUACAAUGAUAUGGGUCCCUGCUCCAAACGGAGACUGUAAGAUGGUCCAAUCAUUAUAAUUCUCGUUCCAAAUGUCAUCUAAAACAAGCAAGAAUCUUUUCCCAGACAACUUCUCCUUCAACUUAACUUGAAGUAAAUCCAAGUUACUGUAAUCACAUGACUCAGAAGUGAUGGACUGUAAAAUUGCCUUUGUUAUAGCAAUUGCAUCAAAUUUAACAGAAACGCAUACCCAGGCCUUGUGGUGAAAAGACUGGUUGAUGGUGGCAUCAUUGUAAACAAGCUGGGCAAGAGUUGUUUUACCCAUCCCUCCCAUGCCGGCGAUGGAAAGGACUGAAACUCCGUUGGAGUUAUCACCUUUGAGAAACUCAAUCAUUUCUGUCUUCUCCUUGUGUCUGCCAACAUACUCCACAACUCCAUCCAGUACGGAAGUUGGUUGCAGCCUAGGUUGCUUUCCCUUGGAGGUUGGAGCUUGAGACAAGAUCUCACUCAACCCCAAACUACUUCUUCGAGUAGUCAAACUAUUCAGUCUAGCAGUGAUCUCUUUCACCUUGGGAAUCAUGGAAUUCUUAAACAGGAAAGAAGUGGGAGCGAAACUAGUACCAGUAAAGCAGGUAGGAAUGAGCUUCCGUACAUUGCUAGUGCUGGCUUGAGCUUGCGAUUUCUUAAGCUUGAGACGUAACUCUUCAUAAGCGAACUCAUCCAAGAUGUCAUCCACAUCGUAAGCCAAGUCCUGGAGAUCCUCCAACCAUUUCUUCACACCCAUGUUCUUGAUCUGCUUCUUCUCUGCAUCUUCCAACACUGCUUGGAUAUCAGGCAAUAUGGACUGCCACUGCUUGAGCUGCUGGUGGAGUUGGUUGUGAUUAGCAACAAAUUUGAGUGCAGAGUCGAGCGAUUUGCCCAACAACAGGUCCAGGAACCCAGAAAGAGCAGCCUCUCCAAUGACAGACAUGUUGGAAUUAUGAGAAAGAAGUUGAAAAGAGCAAUGAACAAAGCCAAAAUGGAAAGUCAGGGAACAAAAAGAGAAAGAAAGGGAAAUGGAAUCUGCAAAAUUAGAGAAAGUUGAAGAAGUUGGCACUAUUUUUUAAGCAUCCAAUAAUUCAGACUAUGAGUUGGGAAGGCAGUGGAACGUGAAAAAGGAUCCCAAGUGGUUGUUGAUGGGGAAAAGACAACGAAAGUGGAAAUUAAAGAGGUCCCAGUAGAGGUGAUCAUGGCUGGGCUGGGCCGGGUUCGGGUCGAGUUUGAAUAAAAUUUUAGACCCAUAUUUUAGGCCGGGCCAGACCGGGCUAAGAAAACAGGUCUAAAUUUUUGUUCGAGCCAAGCCCAAAAGAAAAUUACUAAGCCCAAGCCCGGCCCAACUUGCCCAUAUUAUUUUUUAUAGUUUAUUUCAUUAAAUAAAAAAUUUUAAAACAAAUAUUAAAACAAAAAAAAGACUAAAAUAAUUCUUAAAGCAAUACACAAAUUAAAAAUAUAAUAAAAAGUGGUUAUAUUAAAAUUGAAACAAAUUAGAACUAAAAUAAUAGCCAAAUUAAUAAUAAAACAAAAAUAUAUUUGUUUAAAAAUAAAAAUAUAUAUUUAAUAUAUAAUUCGGGUCGGGCUGGGUCCGGGUCAAAAAAGUUUUACCCCAGCCCGGCCCGUUUUUUAAACGGACCUCUUUUUUUUUUUGCCCAAACCCAUAUUUCGGGCCUAAAUUUUUAGCCGAACUGAUAUAAGAAUGCGCACGGACCAAGAUCGAGUUGCCAAGUCACGGAAAACUCUUAUGAAAACUUGAAACGAUCAGAUCUGAAACGAAUUAGCAUUCAAAUUAAAGAAAUCAAUCAGAUUUUAAAAAUAGACAAUUAGGAUUUGGGGCAGCAAGAAGAGAGGAAAAAUUGAGGGGUCAAACAGUUCUUGAAACCCAAAGGAGGUUGCAAUUCUGCCCAAUUGAACAACGGGGUAGUUUUCCCCAAAUUUUAGCAACCUAAUUUCACCAAAAAGGGAAGGAAUUUUAGUCGGCAAAAACCCUAGAAAUUGGAGAUUUUUGGUGCGAUUCUUGACUGCCAAGAGAGGAGUAUGGAUCGAUUUCUUUAAGUUGGAAUGAACUGAAAACACAACAAGAAGAUCGAUUAAAACAAGAUAAGCAAUCGGCACAAGGCAGAAUUUAAAGAAAAAAUUGACAGCAAGCAGAUAAAGAUAAAGUCAGCCUUGAAAUCCCAAGAGAUUUCACAACUCCCUUCAAACGGCUCUAAUCUUCCCUCCAAUGAAUAUCAAUGGCAAGAAGAAGGUUGAAGAUGGUUCCCACAAUCAAAAAGAUUGUUAAAACAACUUCUAAAAAAAACUCAAGAGAAAAUUCUUAGAGAACUCAAAGAGAAUUUUCACUCAAAACAAAUCUGAAAUUUUCAAUGUGUUUCUUAUGUGUCUUACAAGGGUGGCCGGCCAUGCCUAUUAAUAGGCCUUAAUAUUUUCCUAAUCCUAUUAGAAAACUAAAACUAAAAAAACUCCUAAUUAAAUAUUAAAGAGAAAUUCGAUCAAGGGCUUUAAAUUGGGCCUCUUGAACAGAAUAUUUACAUAACAAUUAAUUUAGAAAGUCUAAAAUUGAAACUAAGAAUUAAUUUUUUACAAAUUGGGCCACUUUACAAUUUGGCCCGAUUUUCAACUAAGUAUGAUUUUAACUUUUUGGUUGGGCUUUGGAAUCGUCUCAUUGGGCCUUGUGGUAAUUUGAGCCCAUCACGUUCUUGAGCUUGAGUUGGGCCUUUGUGACUCGUAUCACGAACCCUCUCAUUUUUCGAGCGGGCCAUCGGGCCGGGCCGGGUAACCCAACCCAUAUUACCUCUAGGUCCCAGUCCAUGAAAUUAUUGCACCCUCUCAUUUCAUAUCUCCCUGCAAUUAUUUGAAUAGCUUUUCUUUAAUUUUUCAUCUAUUUUAAUCAUUGAAUUUGUAUUUAUUUUUAUUAAAUCACUUCAAAAUAAAUAGAAAACCUAAAAGGGUAUACAAUCUUAACAAAGAUAAAAACAUUAAAAUUUUUAUUUAUUUUGAAAUAAUUUGACAAGAAAAUACAAGUUCAAAAGCUAAUUCUUUUUCAUAAAAUUAGAUAACCAAAUCUUUAUGUAUUUCUUUUAUGAGACAAAAGUGGAUUAAAGUGUUUGCAACUCUAAAAUGGAUGGCCGCUCUUUUAUAGGUAUAGAAUUUAAUGAUUCUUAAGAUAAUUUGUUGUGGUCAUUUGAGUUGUUAAUUUGUUAAUAAUAAUAAGGAGAACGAAUAGAAAGUAAUGGCUUGGCUCAUGAAUAAACGACCAAUCCCCGAUAGAAGAGAAGGUUCCAUUGGAACUAUUAUUUAUUUCAGGGUGUCUUGUCUCUCUCUUUUUUUACUUAAAAGAGAGAGAGAGAGAGAGAGAGGAAGUGCUAACAGAAAUGGUAAGAAGAUAUUGGAACAUAAAUUUGGAAGAGAUGUUGGAAGCAGGAGUUCAUUUUGGUCAUGGUCUACUUAUGGCUUCGUGCACUAUUUGUUAGAAUGCAUCAAACACAAAUCUUAAGAUUAAAUUAAAUUCUAAAAAAAUACUAAUACAAAUAAAAAUAUUAAAAUUCAAGAUAAAAAUAUUGAUGUGACAUUAAAUUAUUGAAAAUGGAUACAAAUAUGAUGGUAUCCCAAUUUUAUACUAUCAUAUUCCUCCAAAAUAAUUUUCCUUUUAAUAUGUAUAUUAUACUUUUUGGUUUUGGGCAGAAAUGGAUUGCAAAUGGAAUUUCUUUUCUUCUAUAGUUCUAAUUAUGUUCUUUCUUUUUCUCUUGUAUAAUAUUUCGCCGCCACGCCACCUUCCCAAUUUUUUCCCCUUCUUUUAUUUAAUUCUUGUUGAAUUAUUAGGGGUGUGUAAAUUUUGGAUAAAACCAAAUUAAUUUGGUUAAUUAAACAGUUAAUCGAAUUAAUUCGGUCAAGGGUCAGUUAAUAAUUUUUUGAAAGUUCAGUUAAUGGUUAAUUAGAUAAUUAGUGAACUGAACAAAGACAAAAUGGAAACCCAGGGACCAAAAUAGAAAGAAAGAAAGAUGGAUUCUGUGUAAUUAGUGAAAGUUGAAGAAGUUGGGACAAUAUUUUUUUAAGCAUCCAAUAAUUCAGACUAUGACUUGGAAGGCAUUGGAUUAUGAUAAAGAAGAUGGAUCCCAAGUGGUUGUUGCUGGGAAAAGCAAAUGAAAGUGGAAAUUAAAGAGGUCCCAGUCCAUGAAAUUCUUGCACCCUCCCAAGUGGUUGUUGCUGGGAGAAGACAAUGAAAGUGGAAAUUAAAGAGGUCCCAGUCCAUGAAACUAUUGCACCCUCCCAUUUUUCCGUCCCCGCAUUAGCUUUUCUUUUAGGCAUAAUGAUUACUCCUAAUUUGCAUAAAAAAUAAUUUUAACUCUUAAGUUUAUCUUUCAAUCAAACCACUCUAAAAUAGACCCGACAUACAUGUGAAUUAUAAUCUAGAAAACACAUUAACAUUUAAUUAAUUUUUAAAAUUUAAAAAAUUAAUUAAGUGAACAUUAGUAAAGUUAAAAAAAGUUACAAAUUUAUGGGCUAAAAAAUAAAAAUUUAAAUAGAGAACUAAUUUUUUUUUAAGAAGUCGAAUAAAUUAUUAUGUCUUUCUUUUAUUGGAUCAAAAUAGAUUAAAAUGUCUGCAAUUCUAAAAUGGAUGGACUUAGUAUUUGGAUACAUUAUUAUUUUUACUGGAGAUCGAGAAAAGAUGGACUUUCUAUGAGCCCAUUUUUCUGAUAGGAUUUAUUACCACUUUAGCAACUUUGGCGAUUUAGUCAAUUACUCGAGAUUCACGAUUAUUUUAUUUCUUGAUGCUAGCAAUGUAUAGUGAUCAAAUAGCAUCAUUUCUUCUUAAGACCUUUUACUUUUUUCAUCAUGUGGGAGUUUGAAUUAAUUCUCAUUUAUCUAUUUCUAUCCAUGAAGGGGAAGAAACAUCUAUGCUCGGUUACAAAAUUUAUUUUGUACAUUGCAGGCGGUUUCAUUUUUCUAUUAAUAGGAGUUUUGCGUCCCGGUUUAUACGGUUCUAAUGAACCAACAUUAAAUUUUGAAAUAUUAGAUCAUUUAGAUAAUCAAUCAUAUCCUGACACACUAGAAAUAAUAUUCUAUAUUGAACUUCUCAUUACUUUUUCUAUCAAAUUGUUGACUAUACUCUUACAUACAUGGUACGAUAUAAAAAAUUUCAAUAAAAAAAUAUAAAAUUAUUAAAUAUUAAAAUAAUAUAAUAUAAAUAUUUUUAAAAAAAUAAAAUUAAUAUGAACAGGGCUAACAUGAGUUUGGAUUAAUCUUAUGUAAAUAUAGACGGGUUUGAGCAACAUUUUAAGCCUAAAUUUUAGGCUGGGUCAGAUUUAGAUAAACAUAAAGUAAGUUAAUAUCAUGCUUAGACCCAACCAGUCUAUGAAUAUAUUUACUAACGAGGGACCUUUGUUUUGAAUUUUGUAAUAGCCUUUGUCCAUUGUCCCGAUUUCCAAGUAAAUGAACGUUGAGCUCCAUGCCAAUGGCAUCAAAAUAAUUAUCUCCAUUAACAACAAAAUAUAGUCCAACACAAGAAGGGAGUACUAGAAGAACAUAUUCUCCAUCUCAUAAACAUUUGAUAACAUCACUGUUGAAGCCUUUCAAAGCAGGGGAAAUCCAUAUAAAGUGUGAUAGAAAGCCCACUGUGACACAUUUAGCUUUCAAGCUUCAGAUUCCCUGUCUUACAAAAAUGACCAAAUAAUAUAUCACGUUUACAAUAUUAUCUGUCUUACAAAAACCAAAUAUCAGUGAACCACCAUCUUUGCCUAUCUUUUAAAGGGUUUCAUACAUGUGGUCUGAGCAUGACAAAAUAAGGGAUGCUCUGAAAUUUUGAUGAUGCAUCCAUCCAUGAUCACAGCAGUUGUGUACGAAAAUGAAAAACAACAUACUUUCUUUAGAAUGCAAAAAACUUGAUUAUAUUGAUAUGAAGCAGUAACCAAAAUGGUUAAAUGAAGUUUUUCAGUCAGUCACUUAGACACUGAGUUCAUUAAUGUCGUUCAAUCCACAUGAUCGAAAAAGCAGUUCCUCAUCAAGUGAAUUAAUGCAGCUCGAAAGUAGCUUUCAAAUGGAUGUAUCAUCUGAGAAUUUCCAAGAACUAGGAUGGCCAACUUUGAGAUCAGCAGACUAUAGUUUGUGGGAACACUGAGGCUGCAAGUUCAAAAGAAGUAUAAUCUCAAUGUCAUCAGUGUUUUACAAGUGAGAAAACCCCAAAUUGCAGGUCAGUGAACUCUCUUGUGUUAAUGCUUAAAUCUAGCUCUUUAACUACAUGCCGUACUGCGUAGUGUAUCCCUUCCUUAUCCUGAGAGGAUCAAUAAUAGACUGGUGACGACUCGUAUCCUUACACAAUAACAGGAAUCUGUCCACAAAGAUCAUAUGAAACUAUCAAGUAAAUUAAGACUUAUUCUUUUGAAAUACCAUUGGUCAAUAUUACAAUGGAAUGUCAAAUAUUUUCAACUAAAAUCCCAUUUCCAAGUACAAAGGUUAUAACAAUUGCAUUUGAAAACAUUGUCUUAAAAAAAAAUAGUUAAUAUAUUAUGGAAAAUUUUAGAAAGAUGAAGAGAAAGUCUAGGAUUGGCAGACCAAUGUCGAAAAGAAGGAUCGACUGACUAUACGGCAUAUUCCAAGUCCAUUCCAAAAUUAGUCUGUGCCAACCCAUAUUCUGAGAGCUAAGCAAACAUAUACGCAAAGGAAGCUUAGAAAUCAGAACAUGCAGAUGAAAACUGAACAUUCAAUUUGCUGAACAUCAAAUCAAAUAAGCUAAAAGGAAGGCUAGUUGAAUUCAUCCGCUAUUUUUGCCAAAUUAGUUUUCAAUGCCUGAAAAAUUGAAUACAAAUUAUAUAAGACUGAUUGCUAUUAUCUUGUUAUUCUGAGGACAAUCACAUAUGUGGAACUAUGGAACUAAAAAUGCUAUGAAAUUGCUUAAUGUUUAAAAUGGUUUCACACCUGUGGUUUAAGUGUGGAGAAACCAGUGCCAGGUUUUGCUGCUUUACUUUCAAUCUAAUUCCCUUGGGAUGACUGUUUUAUACUGAAAACGGACAUAAGGGAUGUGGGCAAUCUUGGACCACUGUCGACCUUUACCCCUACUGCACCCUUCUUCUAGCAACGGGCAAUUGAAAAUAUGUAGCUGCUCAAGUGAGAGAAGCAUAUCUUUUUCUGGAAGAGAUGUGAGUUUUGGACAAUUACUUAUUUCCAAUUCGUGAAGUGAAGUGAGGUGUUGAAAGCCCUUGGAGCACAUGAAUUCCAAAUUCUCAAAAUUUUCAAUGCAGAUAGAUGUUAGAGAAGGAGGCAGCAUUCUUCCUAUCCCUUCUUCUGGAAAUGACACCACACGUGAGCAUCCCUCACCGCCGAUAUUGAGCUCUUGAGUGGAGGUGAGUCUAUUUAAUCCCCAUUCAACAAGUGAUGUAUACAUUUUGGGUCCAUUUGAGAUUUCAAGUGAUGUGAGAUUCGUAGGGAAACCCUCUUCUGGGAAUGACACCACACGUGAGCAUCCCUCACCGCCAAUAGUGAGCUCUUGAGUAGAGGUGAGUCUAUUUAAUCCCCAUUCAACAAGUGAUGUAUAUAUUUUGGGUCCAUUUGAGAUUUCAAGUGAUGUGAGAUUCGUAAGGAAACCUCUUCUGGGAAGGAUAUAUCAGCUGAACACUAUAUAAAUAGUUAAAUGAAAAGACAAAAAGCAAACUCGUAAUAUUAUUUGUUAUCUUUUAAAUAAGGAUUUUUAUUUAAAGUUAUUUUUCAACCAAAUUGAUCUUUAGUUAAACUCGUGGCUUCAACUCAGUUAUAUAACUAUAUAUAGUAUAAUUAACAAACAAUAAAAUUGAAAUUGACAUACAUGUAUGCUGUGUGUAGCCUUAAAUACUCCUGUUUCAUGGUGUUAACCUCAAUUCCUUGCAACUUCUUUUUUUUAACAAAAAAAAAAGAAAAAUACGCACACACAAUAUUAGAAAUGUAAUUAUUAUUAUCGAUCGAGUCUUAAUUCAAUUGGCAUUAAUAUUAUUAUUUAUGCAAAGAGGAUAUCAAUAUAUAUAUAUACCUCAACUUGUUGCUCAUCAAAAGGGUGUUCUUGAGAAUGAUCUUCUUCCAUUCCUUUGCUGUACCUUGAAAGAGUGUAUUCUAUGCUACAUCCCUAAAAUGUCAUGUUUAAAAAAAUAACAAUAAAUUAAAAAUAAAAUUCUAACUCAUUAUUAUUGUUUGGACUUGAGCCGAUCAAAUUUAUGACAAGUUAUUCUUAACUUAUCGGAACUAUUUAUAUAUCAUUUUUGUUUUAAUAUGAGCAUGUGUUGUAAAAGUAUUAUAUAUAUAAUAUACUUGCAAAUAUUUCUUAAUUAUAAUAUGUAAAUAUAAAUUUUAAAAUUAUUAAUUAAUUUCAAUAAUUUAAUGAAUGGUUAUAUAUUAUUUUUAAAAGCAAUUAUAUAAGAAAGUAGUUAAGAAAGAAAAGAGAAAUAUUAAAAAUCCCUUUAUAGGAAUUAAUACUCAACGAUACAAGAAUAUAUUAAUUGAAAUGAGUCAAAACUCAAUGAAAUUUUAAUUGAUGUGAAACUUAAACUAUUUUAUUCUAGUUCAAUAUUGAGACGAUUCAUAACGAUUGAUACAACCAGUAUCGAAACUACCGACUACCAUACUACAAAGCGAAAAGAAAAUAAUGGAAAUCAAUCAAAUUACAACUCAACUUACUUUCAUGCUUAGAAAAAAAACAGUUCUAAAAAAUAAUCAUCCAAGAAAAUAAAUAUAUAUAAGUUUUAUAGACCGUUACAAACUAAUAUACACUCAUAUAAGUCGAUAUUAAUCAAAACACAAUAAAUUUUUAACUGAAACGAAACUUAAACUACUUUAUAUUAAUUCAAUAUUGAGACGAUAGCCAAUUAUUAAGAAAAGAAAAACAAUGGAAAUCAAUCAAAUUAUAGGUCAACUUACUUUCAUGCUUACAAAAGAAAUUGCUAAAAUUAAAAAUUGAAAAAAUCCCAGAUUUCGAUUAUUAAAAAUCAUCUAUAAUAUAUAUAUAUAAAUAAGUAUUAUACUAUAUUAUAUACCUAGUGCUGGACCAUUGAUAGACCUUGCCGCUGCUUGAAAAAAUAAUAACCCCAACCUCUGCAUCACAUAAAAUGGACAAUUCUUUAGCUUUCUUCAACAACCCAUUUUGCCUCUUUGAAAACGUUACUUGCUUGCUAUUCAAAAUUUCAAUCUUUUUUAUUUGAAUUUUCCCUCUACCCAUCUGAAAAUUUUCUUCUUUCCUUUACUUUUUCCCGGAAAAUUUUUAAAGGAAAAGUUAAACCCCAGAUUUUUUUUUUCUUAAAUUUUGAAAAAAACCAAAGGUUUUUAUAACAACAAACCGAUCAAAGAAAAUAAGGCAAAAAAUUUAGGGGAUUGUAAAAGGAUUCUUUUUUUAAGAGAAAAGAAAAUAAGUAAGUAAUGUUUAUAUAUAACAAUGGUUUUCUUAAAUGGAAAUGGAAAAUGAUAUGGAAAAAGAAAAUAUGUGACCAAAAUUAGGGUGAAAGCUUGAAAGGUGACAGAUUUGAUACUAUAUCUACCAAUUAUCCAACUAUGGAAACUCUAUUUAUUAUAAGUUUAGUUUAUUUUUUCUAUUUAUCUUAAUUUCUCUACCUUUUUACUCUCCUGUUUUUGGUAUUUCAACUCAAAAUGGAUUUUAUUUUUGCUUUGGGUUUCUUUUUUUUAAUAUAAAAAGUGGUUUUUAAUUAUUUAUAUAUUAUUAAUGUGUUUUAACAAUUUUUGUUAGUGAAUAUUGAUUUUUUUUUUGUGAAUUACAAUAGGAGGGCAAAGCCCUAAUAACAACACGACUAGUGCAAUUCGAAUGUAGGCCACACUUGAGACGUUGAACACAAGUAUUUCACGAGGACAUAUAACACAUGUUUUUUGUUUUUAAAUUCAUGGCUAAAAUAAUAAAAAAAACCUCUUUAUUUUAUUGUAUUCAAAUAAUAAUAAAAACCAUGGUUUUAGUCGCACCGGCCGGUGCCGCCGUUCUACUGUUAUAGCGCAACAAGCAACACCCUUUUCUAUACUAAUGAAAAUUUUGGCUUGUACCGUUCGCAUUGACCGAAACAUGGUACACUUGCUGCUGCAUGAAUAGUGUUAAAAAAUAUAAAACUUUUAAUUGUAUGUUUUCUAUUAGACUAAUAUUUAAUUGAAAUGUAUUGACCAAUAAAAAAAAUAUUACACUAGAAAGUAAAGUUUAACAUUUAAAAUUUUUUUAGAGCAUACUUUUUCAUUUAAAAUAUAAAAAUUAAAAUAUAAUAAAAAAACUCACUCACCUCGUUAUCAUAGAAAAAUAUCCACUCGCCCUUAAACUUUUUUUAUUGAAAAAAUCCUCUCAUCCUUCGAUUUUUUUUUCUUCUUAAUUUUGAAUUUAUUAAAUGAUGAGUUUUUACUUGUGGAGUUUAUUAAUCAAUAUUUUAUAUAAUUGAUGAAUAGUUUUAUAUUAGAAAUUUAUUUAUAACAAUUUAUUUGAUAUUUGUAUAUUUAUUUAUAUAAAUAUAUUAAAUAUUUUAAAAAAUAUCUAUAAAUUCAAAGUGGUACAUAAAAUAGACUAGUAUCAAUACAUACCGGUUCUCAUAGAAAAGUAGUACUUACACCAAUGUGGUAAUGGCUACCUUGAAAGCAAGUAUGUGGGUGGCUAUAAUGUUUGAUGCUUUAUUUUCUUUGAAUAUUUUGCUUUGAUGCUUUUGAUAUGUGCUGAUCUUUGAGUGUAACCUUUGGGAUAUAUAUGGCCAUCUGAAUUUUUAUGAUUUGCUAUGCAUUGAUUUUGGUUGUUUUAUUAAUAAAUUUAUGUUUUGGAUUGAGAAAAAGAAUAAGAAAUUCAAAACACAAAAAAGAAAGUAGAGAAAGUGAACAUAAUAAUAUACGUGGUUCGCGAAUAUUCCCUACAUCCACGGGCAGAACCAAAAACGAAAUUCACUACUAAAAAUUGGAGAUUACAAUAGAAUUACAUCAUAAAAAUAAAAUACCUUGCCAAUAACUAUCCACAAACUUUGAAUGGAUUCAUGGUCUUAGAAAUUCGAAAAACUAAGAUGGACAUCUUUGAGAUUGGACAGAACAAUAUUUUGGGAACUCUGUUAUCUUACAUGUGUUAAAUUGAGCUCUCUAAUACCAUGUUGUAACGUGUACUGUAUCCCUCCAUUCAUCCUGCAAGGAUCAAUACCAUGUCUACAGUGAUGACGAAAUCUGUUGGCACUGAUAUCCUUAUGCAAUAACAGAAAUCUAUCCACAAAGAUCAACAAACUCUCACGUAAAAGACUUGUUCUUCUGAAAAACCAUUGGUUAAUAGUACUACGAAAUGUCAAAUAUUUUUAACUAAGAUCCCAUUAUCAUAUACCAAAAUAGCUUAGAUAUUGGAAGAUGCAAAUGAAAACAGGACAUUCAAUUUGCUGAAUAAAUGUUGCAGAGAAUUGACUAACCGCUUUACUAAAUCAAAUAAGCUGAAGCAGAUGAGUUGAAGUUCACUAUUUUUCGCCAAUUUAGCCUUCAAUGCCUGCAAAAAUUGAAUACAAAAUAUAUAAGAUUCAUUUCUGUUAUCAUGCUGUUCAUGAGGUCAAUCAGAUAUAUAAAAAAUAAAGCUAUGAAAUUUAUAAAUGCUUAAAAUCCAUUUCACACCUGUGGUUUGAGUGUGGAGAAAUCGAUACCAGAUUUUGCUGCUUAACUUUCAAUUUAAUUCCCUCGGGAUGACUGUUUUAAAAUCAAUUUUAACAAAAGGUAUGUGGGAAAUCUUGGACCACUCUCGUCCUUUACCCCUACUGCACCCUUCUUCUAGCUAGCAACGGGCAACGCCAAAUAAAUAGACGCUCAAGCGAGAGAAGCAUAUCUUUUUCUGGAAGAGAGGCGAGCUUAGGACAAUCAUAGAUGGCCAAUCGUUGAAGAGAGGUGAGGUGUUGUAAGCCCUUGGAGCACAUGAAUUCCAAAUUUUCAAAUCUAUGGAUGCUGAUAUCGGUGAGAGAAGGAGAAGCAUCAUUCCUAUCGCUUCUUCUGGAAAUGACACCACAUGUGAGCAUCCUUCACCGCUGAUGUUGAGUUUUUGAGGAGAGGUGAGUCUGUAAAAUCCCCAUUCAACAAGUGAUGUAUAAAUUUUGGGUGCGUUUGAGAUUUGAAGUGAUGUGAGGUUGGUAGGGAAACCCUCUUCUGGAAAGGAUAUGUCAGCUGAACACUUCCACACUGCUAAUUCUCGAAAGGAGGUGAAGUUGUUGAUGCACUUGGUAAGGGCUCUAAAAUUUUCACAACCCCCAAUUGAGAGAACUCUGAGAUUUGUGGUGGGCAACCCACUUUCUUCCAAUGAAACAAGAUUUGGACACCUAAAUAAUCGAAUCUCCUGAAGAUGGCUGAGCUUGUCUAAUCCCCGAGGUAAUGAUUUAAUUUUUUCAGCAUCAUGAAUGACAAUGCUUUCGAGAUCAGUGGUUUCAAGGAAGUCUUGGGCUAUGCAUUCCAACAUUGGACAAUCCCCGAUAAAUAACUGUUUAAGCAUUACGGGUAACUUGGCAUUUAAAACUAAGCUACUUAGCUUUGAACAACAUCGAAUUUUGAGAUGUUGAAACCGAUUGCAUAUAUCGUCCCUUGAUGAUAACCAUAUUAGAGAUGGACAGCAGCUUAUAUCUAAGCGCUCAAGAAGACAAGUGUUGGUACUCAUACUCUUAUUAGUAUUUUCUUUUUCAUCAACCAAAUAUUGCAAAUUCACGCAAUUCACAAUCCUCAGCUCUUUUAAAGCAGGGGGAAAGUUACUCUCUGCAAAACAAACCAAGCCGGGACAGUCUCCAAGUGUUAUUCUUGUAAUGAAUGGGAAAGCAUGUAAGGCUUCUGGUAGUCUACUGAGCCUUUCACAAUCUCUUAUAAACAGAGAUUCAACACCUGGAAUCUUGUCAAGUUGCAAUCUCUCCUCCUCUGCUGCCAAAGAGACCAAUUGGGGACAACUGACAAUCUCAAUGAAUCGGUGCCCGACUAAUCUUAACCCAAUUUGCGAUAAAGAUCCCAACUCCCAACCAGAGAUCUUAAAUGUUUCGGAGUUUGCAAAUCUCAAAAGUAUCCUCUCUGCCGAAAUAUUACACUUUGAAAUAUUUGAAAGAGACGCAUGUUUCAAAGAGGUAACCUUCUGUACAGACAAAGAACCUUCAUCCACCAAUUCUUCACACCCUGCAAUGCUUAAUUCACACAGCAAGGGAAAACUUGAAAUUGAAACUACCAGUCUCUGACACUCAUAGAUUUCAAGUUUCUGCAAGGAUUGAAGGAUGGUUGGCAACCUUCCCAACAAUAGAGGACAUUUUGUGAUUGAAAGAAAACGAAGGCUGGGGAAUUUCGAUACUUGCUCAUCAUCUUCACAAAGGUCCCACUCCUCCCAAUUCAGCAUAUUGUCAAAGCACAAAGAUUCUAAUGAUGCAAAAGCAUUUGAUUGAUUUUCUCCUAACAACUCAGCACCAAUCUUGUGUACUUGACGCAAACCACCAAUUGAAAGAUCUUUUAACAACAGCAACCUUCCAAUCGAUGGUAGAGAUUUGCAAUUUUGACAGUUGCGGAGCUCCAAUGACAACAUAUUUUUGAAGGAAGAAUCUGCAAUCCAAGUAGAGAAUUUUGCACCACUAAAAUUCUGAAUGACGAGUUGCUCAAGCUUUUUCGAAGGAUGAAGAGAAUCUAACACCCAUUCUUCAACUUCUUUUUUCCUUGUGUCCCAACUCCAUUUCAAUACCAAUCAAUCAAUCCCCUGCUUCUCAUUUAACUUGGCUUCCCCUGCAUCUUCAUUAACAUUCUCCAACCCAGAAAGACAAAAAUAACCUUUGAGGUUUGACAAAUAUUUCAAUUCUCUGAUACUAUGUCCAUCACCUUCCCCUAUGAUAAAAUUUGAUAACCUUUGAAGAUUCGUUAGCUUAUCAAUUCUGAAAGGAAUCCUUUCUAUUAAGUCAGCAACUUUGAUAUUGAGAUAAUGUAAGUUGACAAGAUUUCCCAUCUUUGAAGGUAACCUUUGAAGCUUCCAACACCGUCUCAAUAAUAAAGUUUCCAAAUGGUAAAGAGUGCACAAAGAAUCAGGUAGGCAUUUGAUAUGGGUGUUAGAAAAAUUCAAGUAGCGAAGAUGUUUUAAAUUUUCAAAAACAUCAGGUAACUCUUUUAUCUUAUACCCACUCAAACAAAGCACCCCUAAGUAGCCAAGUCUUGGCAACAGAUCAAGCAAAACAACAUUAGUUAAAAAAGGCCCCCAAACAUAAUUUCUAGAAAAUAUUAAGGGUAGAAAAGUACGUAAUGAUUUCACUUGAUCAAAUGCUUCGAACUUCUUCACUGUGUCAUAUUCUCCAGCAAUAUAAGAAGAAUGCCGAGUGCGAUUCGAUAACUUUUGUUGCAUAUCACCCUCCUGUUUGGAGCAUAUGUCUCCCGCAACUACUUGAGCUAAAUCAUUGAUGAAGUCAUGCAUUACAAAUCAGGACUCAUCUUUACUGGAUGUCUGAAAAAAUGACCUUGACACUAGAUCUUGAAAAUAUUGAUUUCCAAUAUCUUUAACUUGAGGCAUAGCCUUUUGUUGCAAGAGACCUUCUGCUCUCCAUAACAAGAUAAUUUCUUCUUUUUCAAAUUCAUAAUCUUUAGGAAUUAUGGAGCAAUAUGCAAAACAUCGUUUCAAGUAUGACGGAAGAUGAUGGUAGCUUAAUCGCAAAGCUGGAAUUAUGCCACACUGCUCUUCUGGUAAGUUCCAUAUCUCACUCUCAUAUAUUCUUUCCCAUUCUCGAUGAUAUUUAACUGUGCGUAGCAAGCUUCCAAUAGCUUUUGCAGCCAAAGGUAAGCCAUUGCACCUUCUAAUAAUUUUCUCUCCAAUUUCUUUGAACUGGGGAUGUCCAUCGAAAUUUCUUGCUUUUAAUGCAUGCUGUGUAAAUAUCGAUAAACAAUCAUCAUCUGAUAGUUUAUCCAAAUGAAAAACUUUGAGGGGAUCCACAAUAGAUGAAACAAUUUGAAGACGAGUGGUUACAAUGAUAGUGGUCCCUGCUCCAAACGGAGACCGUAAGAUGGUCCAAUCAUUAUAAUUCUCGUUCCAAAUGUCAUCUAAAACAAGCAAGAAUCUUUUCCCAGACAACUUCUCCUUCAACUUAACUUGAAGUAAAUCCAAGUUACUGUAAUCACAUGACUCAGAAGUGAUGGACUGUAAAAUUGCCUUUGUUAUAGCAAUUGCAUCAAAAUUAUCAGAAACGCAUACCCAGGCCUUGAGAUCAAAAGACUCGUUGAUGGUGGCGUCAUUGUAAACAAGCUGAGCAAGAGUUGUUUUACCCAUCCCUCCCAUACCGACGAUGGAAAGGACUGAAACUCCAUUGUAGUUAUUACCUUUGAGCAACUCAAUCAUUUCUGUCUUCUCCUUGUGUCUGCCAACAUACUCCACAACUCCAUCCAGUACGGAAGUUGGUUGCAGCCUGGGUUGCUUUCCCUUGGAGGUUACAGCUUGAGACAAAAUCUCACUCAACCCCAAACUACUUGUUGAAGCCGUGGCCUGCAUUGCAACAAAGAACCAACAGCAACAAAUUGGUCAAAAGACCAGCAGCAGCAGCAAAUUGUACAAUUUUAGCUGCUAUACUAUUUUGUAGCAAAGAAAUGGAGUUGGUUCAGUUAUAAAAUUAUUUUUUGAAUACUUGUUCCUAUGGAACUUAGCCUAAAUCUUUGUAAUGAGUUAGCUAAGUUAGUAGGAAAGAUUGACUGAUGUAAUAGCUGGUAUGCCAGCUUUCUUUUGUAUACAAGUUGCUAUAUUUUUUAGUAAGUAUUAAGUAAGAGCAGUUAAAUUAGUAGGUAACUGUCAAAUACUUUUGUAACCUUCAUAUAUUCAAAAUUUGAAUGAAACUAUGAUGACUUUUCAUUUUACAAAUUUUCUUGCUGAGUUCUUUUCUUUUGUUUUUCUUUCAUUCGUUUUUUACUUUCUUUGCUACUGCCAUUUAUCCAACAAAUGGUAUCAAGAGCUUUCAGUCUUUGAGGGCCUUGGUUGUACACUGUCACUAAGCAAAUUGUGUUUGAAACAAAAGAAGAAGAGGUUGUUUUGCUUGCUGAAAAAUGAGUUUUACACCACCUCUUCCACCUGUCUUUGCUGGAGAAAAUUACAACAUCUGGGCAGUGAAAAUGAGAACAUACAUGCAGGCACACGACCUGUGGAAUGUUGUUCUCAAUGACACUGAGCCACCACCACUAAGAGCCAACCCGACUAUAGCCCAGAUUAGGCAGCACAAUGAAGACUGUGCCAAGAAGUAUAAGGCUAUGUUGUGCCUUCAAAGUGGAGUUUCUGAUGUUAUUUUCACAAGAAUAAUGGCUUGUGACUCUCCAAAGCAGGCCUGGGACAAACUCAAGGAGGAGUUUCAGGGGUCUGACUAGACCAGGCAACAGCAGCUGAUCAACAUGAGAAGAGAUUUUGAAAAUCUCAAAAUGAAGGACUCAGAAACCAUCAAGCAGUAUGCUAACAGAAUCAUGGCUACUGUCAACAACAUAAGGCUGCUUGGGGAAGAAUUCAGUGACCAAAGAGUGGUUGAGAAGGUCAUAACAACCUUGCCAGAGAAUUAUGAAGCAAAAAUUUCUUCUCUGGAAGAUUCAAGGGACUUGUCAACAAUCCCUUUGACAGAGCUUAUAAAUGCUCUCUAUGCUCAAGAGCAGAGAAGGGCAAAUAGGCAGGAGGACCACUAUGAAGGAGCUUUUCAGGCUAGAAGCAGAGAAAGCUCAAGUGCAAACUUAAAUGCCAAAGGCAAGAAGCCCUGGACUGAGAAGAAGAAGAAAGAACCUGUCAAAAGGAAGUUCCCACCUUGUGUCCAUUGCAAGAAGACUACUCAUCUUGAGAAAUACUGCUGGUACAGACCAGACAUUCAAUGUAGAGCCUGCAAGCAAUUUGGCCACAUUGAAAAGGUCUGUAAGAGCAAGCGAAAACCACAACCACAAUUUCAAAGCCAAGCUCAAGCUGCAGAAGAGGUUGAAUCACCAGAAGACCAUGUCUUUUCAGCAUCAUGCUUUGCAAGCUCGAGCAAAGUUAGUAAAAUAUGGCUGAUUGACAGUGGAUGUACCCACCAUAUGGCUUCUGAGAAGAGUAUAUUUAAGGAGCUUGACACCACCUUCAAGUCCAAAGUCAAAAUUGGCAAUGGUGAGCUGCUGGAGGCAAAAGGGAAAGGCAAGGCUUUGAUAAGCACUAAGUCAGGUAUUAAAACCAUUUUAGAGGUUCUCUAUGUACCUGACAUUGACCAAAACUUGCUAAAUGUUGGCCAGCUAUUGGAUAAGGGUUACUCUCUGAUUUUUGAAGGCAAAAACUGUUUGAUCAAAAAUGCUGCUGGUGAAGUGUUGACUACAGUGGCUAUGCAAGACAGAACCUUCAUUGUGGAUGUGAAUCAACUGCAAGCCAAGGCAUACGCAUCUCAGUCUGAUGAGACAGACUUGUGGCACAGGAGGAUGGGGCAUGUGAACUACAAUUCACUGAACAUACUGCACAAAAUGGAUUUGGUCAGUGAUAUGUCCAAAAUUGAGCCAAAGGAUGCUGUAUGUAAGGUCUGUCAGCUAGGCAAACAGACCAGAUUACCCUUUCCAGUCAACAAGGCAUGGAGAGCACAAGGGAAGCUUCAGCUUAUUCAUACAGACAUCUGUGGACCAAUGAAGACUACCUCCUUAAAUGGCAGCAGGUACUUUGUACUCUUCAUUGAUGAUUAUUCAAGGUUCUGUUGGGUAAAUUUUUUGAAGCAUAAGUCAGAUGUUUAUGACUUUUUCUGCAAAUUUAAAGCCUUGGUCGAAAACCAAGCAAAUUGCAAACUAAAAUGUUUGAGGUCUGACAAUGGUUCUGAGUAUGUAUCUCAGAAGUUUCAAAAAUUGUGUGAUGAUGCUGGAAUUCAACACCAAUUGACUACUGUGUACACACCACAGCAAAAUGGUGUUUGUGAAAGGAAAAACAGAACAGUCCUUGAUAUGGCUAGGUGUUUGUUAUUUGAGGCUAAAAUGCCUAAUGUUUUUUGGGCUGAAGCUGUGAAUACAGCUAUUUACCUGUUGAAUAGGUUGCCAACUAAUGCAGUCAAAGGAAAAACUCCCUUUGAAGCCUGGUUUGGACAGAAACCAUCUGUCUCUCAUUUGAAGGUAUUUGGCUGUCUAUGUUAUGUGUUGGUACCUGAGGAGAGAAGAACUAAGUUAGACAGGAGGUCCAUGCCUGGGGUGUUUGUUGGCUACAGCAAUGUGAAGAAAGGAUACAGAGUCUUUGAUCCACUGACCAAGAAGGUUGUAGUGAGCAGAGAUGUGAAAUUCAGUGAAGCAAGUAGCUGGAAAUGGGAUGGAAUUGAAGCAAAUUUGCCAGAUGGAGAAGAGAUUGAUGUUGAUCUGCAGUAAGCUGAAAAUGAAGAAGUAACUGAAAAUGGCUAUGAUGAUGAACCUGUUCGAGGCACUAGGACAUUAACAGACAUCUAUGAGAGAUGUGCAGUAACCAUAGUAGAGCCUUCAUGUUUUGAAGAAGCUGCAAAAGAAAAGUGCUGGCAGGAUGCUAUGGAAACUGAAUUUAAAAUGAUUCAGAAAAAUGAUACAUGGGAGCUUGUGGAUAGACUUGAAAACAGAAGAAUCAUUGGUGUCAAAUGGGUCUUUAGGACUAAAAACAAUGCUGAUGGUACUUUGAACAGACACAAGGCCAGAUUGGUUGUAAAAGGUUAUAGUCAGCAGCAAGGGGUUGAUUUUUCUGAGACUUUUGCACCUGUUGCAAGGUUGGACACUAUCAGACUGCUGCUUGCUUUGGCAGCUCAAAAGCACUGGAAGGUGCACCAUUUAGAUGUUAAGUCAGCCUUUCUAAAAGGCUUUCUUAAUGAAGAAAUAUUCACUGAGCAACCUGAGGGUUUUGAGGUCCCUGGUGAAGAACAGAAGGUUUACAAGUUGAAAAAGGCCUUAUAUGGCCUAAAACAGGCUCCAAGAGCCUGGUAUGAGAGGAUUGAUGGCUACUUAGCAAUGCUCGGGUUCACAAAGAGUAUCAGUGAGCCUACACUCUAUGUUAAGAAGGAUCAGAAGGAAACUUUGCUAAUUGUUUCCUUGUAUGUUGAUGAUCUGCUAGUCAUUAGCUGUAAAGAUGAACUGGUAGAAGACUUUAAGAAGCAGAUGCAACAUGUCUUUGAGAUGACUGACCUUGGUCUAAUGACCUAUUUUCUUGGUAUGGAAAUCAAACAAGGAAGUGAUGGUAUUUUCAUAAGUCAACAAACAUUUGCUUCCAAGGUGCUUGAAAAAUUUUGCAUGUUGAAAUGCAAAUCAGUCACUACACCAGUUGCAUUGGGGGAAAAAUUAUCAAGUGUCAGUGAGCAUGAUCGAGUAGAUGAGAGAGCAUAUAGAAGCUUAAUUGGUUGUUUGCUUUAUUUAACAGCAACUAGACCAGACAUUGUCUAUACUGUUAGUCUACUUUCAAGGUUUAUGCACUGCAGUAAUGUGGCACAUUUGAAGGCAGCAAAAAGAGUGUUAAGGUAUGUCAAAGGAACCAUCGAUGCUGGUGUAAAGUUUUGGAGGGCAAAUGAGCUGAAACUCUUAGGCUAUUCUGAUAGCGAUUGGGCAGGGUCAGUUGAUGACAUGAGGAGCACUUCAGGUUAUUUUUUCACCUUAGGCUCGAGUGUUUUCAGCUGGAGUUCGAAGAAGCAACAAACUGUUGCACAAUCUACAGCAGAGGCUGAGUAUAUCUCAGCUGCAGCAGCUGUGAACCAAGCCAUUUGGCUUAGGAAGAUUUUGGAUGAUUUGAAUGAAAAUCAAGCUCAGCCUACUGAGAUUAGAGUGGAUAAUCAAUCAGCUGUGGCCAUAGCCAAGAAUCCAGUAUUCCAUGGUAAGACUAAACACUUCAAAAUCAAAUUCCAUUUUGUUAGAGAAGCUGAGCAAUCUAGGGAGGUUAGCUUAGUUCAUUGCAGCUCAGAAAUUCAGCUAGCUGACAUUUUAACUAAACCAUUGGGAGCCAACCGAUUUAAUGCUUUGAAGGAAAGGAUUGGUGUUUGUUGCAUACAGACCAAGGAGGAGUGUUGAAGCCGUGGCCUGCAUUGCAACAAAGAACCAACAGCAACAAAUUGGUCAAAAGACCAGCAGCAGCAAAUUGUACAAUUUUAGCUGCUAUACUGUUUUGUAGCAAAGAAAUGGAGUUGGUUCAGUUAUAAAAUUAUUUUUUGAAUACUUGUUCCUAUGGAACUUAGCCUAAAUCUUUGUAAUGAGUUAGCUAAGUUAGUAGGAAAGAUUGACUGAUGUAAUAGCUGGUAUGCCAGCUUUCUUUUGUAUACAAGUUGCUAUAUUUUUUAGUAAGUAUUAAGUAAGAGCAGUUAAAUUAGUAGGUAACUGUCAAAUACUUUUGUAACCUUCAUAUAUUCAAAAUUUGAAUGAAACUAUGAUGACUUUUCAUUUUACAAAUUUUCUUGCUGAGUUCUUUUCUUUUGUUUUUCUUUCAUUCGUUUUUUUCUUUCUUUGCUACUGCCAUUUAUCCAACACUACUUCUUCGUGUAGUCAAACUAUUCAGUGAAUCAGUGAUGUCUUUCACCUUCGUGAUCAUAGAAUUAUUAAACUGAAAAGAAGUGGGAGGGAAAAUACUACGAAUAAUCCUUUCAGGAAUGAAUUUCCGGAUCUUACUAGGUCUGGCUUGAGCUUGAGUGUCUUGGAGAUUGAGGCGUAACUCUUCAUAAGCAAACUCGUCCAAGAUGUCAUCCACAUCGUAAGCCAAGUCCUGGAGAUCCUCCAACCAUUUCUUCACACCCAUGUUCUUGAUCUGCUUCUCCUCUGCAUCGUCCAACACUGCUUGGAUAUCAGGCAAUAUGGACUGCCACUGCUUGAGCUGCUGGUGGAGUUGGUAGUGAUCAGCAACAAAGUUGAGUGCAGAGUCAAGCGAUUUGCCCACCAACAGGUCCAGGAACCCAGAAAGAGCAGCCUCUCCAAUGACAGACAUGGUGGAAUUGUGAGAAAUAAGGUGACAAGAGAAAUGAGCAAAGCCAAAAUGGAAAGCCAGGGAACAAAAAAGAAGGAAAGGGAAAUGGAAUCUGCAAAAUUAGAGAAAGUUGAAGAAAUUGGCACAAUAUCCUUGAAGCAUGUAAUAUAAUAAUUCAGACUAUGAGCAAUGAGUUGGAAGUCACUGGGUACAGAUAAAGAAGCUGCUUUUCGUGUUAAUGGGAAAGGAAAAAUGGAAAUGAUUUGAAUUUUGAUGCUCUUCUUUUCUCUUACUUUUGGUCAUUAUCCUAAAUUGACCUUCACCGUAUAUGUAAUUUAAUUAAGCAUCAAAGUAUUAUAUUCCUCACAACUUUAUCGCCAAAAUAUCGCCAACACCAAUACUCUAAAUUUUUGAAUCACAAAUAUUUACAUUAUUUAGCAUAUAGAAAAAAAUCCAAAAUUAAAUGAUAAUUUUUACAAUUUUAUAAUUUUAAUAGUCUGUAUCUUUAUAAAAUUUAAAAGAUUAUAUCAUAUUUUUAUCAUAUUUAGGGGAGCAAAGUAUAAUUUUAUAUUUACUAAUUUAAAAUUUUAAAAUAUUUAAAGAGUCUAAAUGAAAAAUUUUUCAUUUUAGAGGACCUUGCCAACCCCCUAGCUACGCCCGAGAUUGGUUGUAGCUAUAUUGUUAAUUAGCUUACUAUUUUACUAUUUAUAGUAUUAUUUAAACUUAUGACUAGUUGAUGUCACGAAUUAAUCGGGUACCAACUUGGUUAAAGAAAAUAUGAAAAUGUCACUCUAGUCUUUUUAUUAUAAAUAAAAAUAAAAAUUUGUGCAUGGGAUUUUGAACCCAUACCAACUAUAUUAAUAAAUUAUUAAUUUACCAUUCAACUAAAACUUUAAUAUUUUUAUACAUUUUAAUUUUAUUGUGCACACUUUAUUGUUAAUUAAUUUCAAACCUUAUGCAUUAAUUAUUUAUUGCAUGUUAUAUUCAAACGCACACUUAUAUUCUAAAUAUAUGAUUCCCGAACAUACAUGUGUGAUAAGUAUACUAAUUGUAACCUGUCUUCCUAAUUGUUGUCCUAAUUUAUGAUUUGCUUUCUUACUAGAUCUGUGAUACGAGCCAAGGAUGUGACACUCAAAGGGUUGUCUUUUCUAGUGGUUCAAUCACUCGAAGCAAGGCACGUCAAUUAAAAUCAAAGAUGAAUGCUUUUGUCCAAGACUUUGUUGCUACAAAUUUAAUUCAUCAUGUUCGUGACAUUGACAAAUACGGGAAUGCAAUUCACUGGACCAAUCUUGGAAUAGUGAAAGCCCAUAAAUUGGUGGAUUAAUCUUUUUUGUAUCUUAUUAUUAUUAUUAUUUACUUAAUUCUCAUUGGUUAGGACAUAUCAUUUAUGAGUUAAGUAAUUUUAUUGGUUAGGUUAUUAUUUAUUUAUUUUCUUAGAUAAUUUUAAAGAGUUUUAUUAGGAUUCAAUUACUUUUUAAAGAGUUUUUAUUAGGAUUCAAUUGCUCUUGAAAGAGUUUUAUUAGGAUUCAAUUACUCUUGUAAUUUGCCUAUAAAUAGGCUUGUUUGUUAUUAUUUAUUUAUUUUCUUAGAUAAUUUUAAAGAGUUUUAUUAGGAUUCAAUUACUCUUUAAAGAGUUUUUAUUAGGAUUCAAUUACUCUUGAAAGAGUUUUAUUAGGAUUCAAUUACUCUUGUAAUUUGCCUAUAAAUAGGCUUGUUUUCUACACAUUGGGGGAGGAAUAAAAGAAGAGCAUUUGUUUUCUUUCAAAUUUGUGUGAGGCAAAUUUUUGGGAGUAGAGUGAUUCUUCUCUUGCUAUUUAGUUUGGAGUUUGUUACUUUCGAGGGUAUUUCGGAGUUGCAAAUAUUCAAAUUUCUUUCCCGUUCAUCGGUGUUUCUAGAGGUUCUUCUUCUAGGGGUUUCGUAGGGAGCCGCUCAAUCAUUGCGUUUUUGGUUACAAGUUAACCAAGGGUUCUAUAGGGCAAAUCUAUCAUUAUUAUUAUUAUUAUUAUUAUUUAACUAAUUUUAUUUAUUCUCGUUUUUUUUAUUUCUAAUUUGUGUUUCUCUUGUGUCUAGAUCCGGGAUUCCGCAUCAAUCUGUUAGCCAAACUCAAAUUAUCUUCCUUUUAGAUCAAUUAAUUGACUUAAACCUAACUCAAUUACAUUUCUUUCUAGAGUGAUUAACUAAAAUAAUCGACCGAGAUUGUUUCUAUUAUUAUAUUUAUGAAAUCAUGAUGGUUUAGUUAUUGGUAUUUUUUGUUGGGGUUAGGUUAAUUUAAUUUUCAAUUUUUCUAAACUAAAAUUUACAUCUAGAUUUGAUGAUGAUUGAAAACAUUUCUGUCUUUUUGGGUUGAAAACAUCACUGGAAAUGCAAAAGGAGAGAAGGUGAAGCCUUUCAAAUUCUCCACAUGGCAAAUGGUGCUGACAUGUCAGAUGGGCCGCUGUGCCAUACUAUGUUAGAAAAAUUAUAAAAACAUUUUAAAAUUAAUAAAACAUAUAUAUACAUCUAGAAUGAAUCUGGACAAAUGGUUAUCCCAAUUCAAAUGAAUUUGGACAAAAGAAUAUAGCCUUUAUACCAAAGCAAUUAGUUUUAUAUUAGAGGUAUUAGAAUUCACGUUCUAUUUUGUUAAUCUACUUAUACAUGUUAUCUAAUAUGUUAAUUUUGUCUCAAAUCCGAAAAUAAUUGGUGCUCAAAAUGAUUCAAACCCAAGAUGACAUAAAUUUGAGAUGACCCUAUUUGAAAAACUUGAAUGGCAAACUCAAAUGGUCGUAACCCAAAAUGGCUCAAACAUGAAACAACUUAAACCCAAAAUUGACCCGAACCAUAAUGACUCUCUAUUUAUAGCAAUAAUAGAAAGACAAAAUAGUAAAUAUGCAAGGGCAAAAGAGUAAAAACCGUAGGGUUACCAUUUCCACGCAACAGUAAAAGAUAUAUUCUGUUGCCAAAUUUUUCGCAACCGUCAAAAAUCAAAAAAUGUUUUAAAGAAAUUAUUUUCUGGAAAAUAAUAUUGAUUAAAAUUAGAGAUAAAUUAUGGAUGAAAAUAUUGAAUUAUUUCAAAUGAUGAAGAGCAACUUUAAUAAUGUAGAGGGACUGGAUCUUGUGUACCUAGGAUGAUACUUCGAAGGCUAUUCUCAGAAGAGUCGAUCUGUAGCUCAAGUGGUACCAUAUAUCUCAACAAUUGACCUAUAUUCAAUAGGUUAAGGGUUCGAAUCUCAUCAAAUGUCGCCUCUUAGUAGUGAUUGUAAGUCCACAUACGGUCAAUGCACCCCUUUUUGUGAGUUGUACAUGGCUCUCCAAUGAUUGGGAAACAAAACCCUUUCACAGGUGACAAUACCUUCUGUUGUUGAGAGACUGGAUCGGCAUCCCCAAAGACGACACUUCAAAGACUUCUCUCGAAUAAGCCGUUCCCAUUAACAAAUAAAUAAUUAUUCUACACAACCCUAUUCUAUCUUUUAAAUUUAUUAUUUUGUCCCUUAAGAUAUCCAUUAAUCUUUUUAUGUAUUUCUAAUAUACAUCCUAUAUAUAUAUAGUAAAAUGAUAUAUAUAUAUAUAAUCUACACUAAAUAUGAGAAGAUUAUAAAUAUAAUAAUCUAUAAUUUUUAUUUAUAUAUGCCUUUUUCCAACUACGGCGUUCUGAUUAUUUUUUUUAAAUUCUUUUUCAUUUUUUGACCAGUCCUAUUUUAUGAAAAUUCAGAUGUGUAUAUGAAAAUAUAAUUUCAUAUAUUAUUUAUCAUUCACAUUCAAAUCCAAUUAACAUAAACUUGAAGAUUCAUUUCUAACUCAUUAGUUAUUAUUUGUAAUUUCCUCUUCAUUUUCUUUCCCAUUUUCGAUUGUGUAACACGCAUGAAUCUGGAUGAAAAAAAUACAAUAGUUUAGUUGAAAUGACAAAGUUAAGACUUUGCAGAUAUGAGUAUCUUAAUAAUUUAUUUUGGAUUUAAACUAUCUUUUUUAUAGAUUUUAUAUAAACACAUAAAUAAAAAGACAAAAAGCAAACUCAUAAUAUUAUUUGUACCUUUUAAAUAGAAACCACUUUUUUUGAAGUUAUUUUUUAACUAAAUUGAUAUUUAGUUAAACUCGUGACUCCAACUCAAUUAGAUAAUUAAAUAUAGUAUAAAUAACAAAAAAUAGAAUUGAAAUUGACAUACACAUAUGUUGUGUGUAGCCUUAAAUACUCCUCUUUCAUGGUGUUCACCUCAAUUCAGGGGCGGAGCUAAAAAUAUUUUUUAGAGGCUGAAAUAAAGUUGUAUAUUUUUAUGAUGCAAAAAUGAAAUUUUCUUAUUUUAAUAACUUAUAUCUUUAUAAUUUUUAAAGAAUCAUAUCAUUUUUUUCUCAUUCUUGAGGGGGUCAAAGUGUAAUUUUACCACAUACUAAUUUUAAAAAAUAAAUUAUAAAAGGACUAAAGGUGAAAAUUUUCAAUUUAGGGGGAUCGAGGCCCCUGCCAACCCCGUUGGCUCCACCCCUGCCUCAAUUCCUUGCAACUUCUGCUUAUUUAACAAAAAAAAUAGAAAUGUAAUUAUUAUUGUCGACUGAGUCUUAACUCAGUUGGCAUCAACAAUUUAAAAAAAAAAAUUUGGAACAUGCUUUUUCAUUUAAAAUAUGAAAAUUAAAAUAUAAGAAAAAAAACUCACUCACCUCAUUAUCAUAGAAAAGUCUUCACUCACCUUUCAGCUUUUUUUUUUUUAUUAAAAAAACCUCUCAUCCUUCGACUUCUUUUUUCUUCUUAAUUUUGAAUUUAUUGAAUGAUAAAUUUUUACUUGUAGAGUUUAUUAAUCAACAUUUUAUAUAAAUGAAUAUUUUUAUAUUUGAAAUUUAUUUAUAUAAAUAUAUUAAAUAUUUUAAAAAAUAUCGAUAAAUUCGAAAUUGUACAUGAAAUAAACUAGUACUAAUAUGUACCGAUUUUCAUAGAAAAGUAGUGCAUCCACCAAUGUGGUAAUGGCUACCUUGAAAGGAACUAUGUGGCAUACUUGUUUGCAAAUAAAUGGGUUAAACCAUGUUGAGUUAGUAUUGUGGGUAGCUAUAAUGUUUGAUGUUUUGUUUUCUAUGAAUAUUUUGUUUUGAUGAUUUUGAUUUGUGCUGAUAUUUGAGUGCAACCAUUGGGAUAUAUAUGGCUACCUGAAUUUUUAUGAGUUGCUAUACAUUAAUUUACUGUGGUUGUUUUAUUAAUAAAUUUAUGUUUUGGAUUAAGAAAAAAAAUUAAGAAAUUCAAACACAAAAAAGAAAGUAGGGAAAGUGAACACAAUGAUAUACGUGGUUCAGGAAUAAUCCCUACAUCCAUGGGCAGAACCAAAAAUGAAAUUCACUAUUAAGAAAUGGAGAUUACAAUGGAAUUACAUCAUAAAAUAAAAUACCUCGCCAAUAAUUAUCCACAAACUUGGAGCAAUUUUCUAAAUGAACAUCAGCUAUACACUUUCCGCGUUUUGAGAAAUACAUGGCAAUAAUAAAUAACAAGUGACCAACAAUCUCAAAAUGUCGAAAACAAUACUUUAUUUAAAGCAUCCUAGUCUCUUAUCAAUCAUCAAUGGAGACCUAAGACAGAUUCAAGAUUUGUGUAGAUAGAAAUAGUUGAUACUAAAAGCAUUAGAAACCAAACUUACAAUGUUGUGCCGUUGUUGUGCCCAUAAGCUGGUAUUGCCCUCUUUGGAUGCCCACCAUUCAAGGGUUUAUCACCCAAAGGUACGUACACCUCCCCAGUGGUACCAUUUGGCCUUUUAUCUGCCACCAAUUUCAUGGUUCCAAAAGCUGAAUGAAAGUACAAGGCUAAAUAAAUAGCAUAUUUGGCUCCACAACUACAACUUUGUACCAUGCACCAAAAUAUGAUCCAACACAAGAAAGGAAUGUCAGAAGAACAAAUUCUCCAUAUAACCUAUACUUACCCUAUCAUAAACAUUGAUAACAUCACAGUUGAAGCCUUUCAAAGCAGGGGAAAUUCAUAUAAAGAUUGGUAGAAAAUAUGCCAAUCUACCGGACCGGAAAGCUGAAAAGCAACAUUAAAAGAGAGCUGCAAUGAAACUAGUUCCAAACUGCUGCAGUAUAUAUAUCAUUUGAUUCAUUUAACUCAUACCUCAAAGUCAAAAGCAAGAGAGUCGAUAUAUAGCGAGUCACUUAGUCGCUGCUAUUUUUGGGAACACUGAGGCUGGAAGUGAAAACCCCAAAUUGCACCUCAGUGAACUCUGUUGUGUUUAUGUUAAAUUGAGCUCUCUAAUGCCAUGUUGUAACGUGUACUGUAUCCCUUCAUUCAUCCUGCAACGAUCAAUACCAUGUUUACAGUGAUGACGAAAUCUGUUGGCACUGAUAUCCUUAUGCAAUAACAGAAAUCUAUCCACAAAGAUCAACAAACUAUCACGCAAAAGACUUGUUCUUCUGAAACACCAUUGGUUAAUAGUACAACGAAAUCUCAGAUACUUUUAACUAAAAUCCCAUUCCCAUAUACCAAUUUCAUAGCAACUGCUUAGAAAUUAGAAGAUGCAGAUGAAAACAGAACAUUCAAUUUGCUGAAUAAAUGUUGCAGAGAAUUGACUAACCGCUUUACUAAACCAAAUAAGCUGAAGCAAACCAGUUGAAGGUCUCCUCUAUUUUUCGCCAGUUUAGCCUUCAAUGCCUGCAAAAAGUAAAUACAAAAUAUAUAACACCAAUUUCUAUUAUCGUGUUGUUCAUGAGGACAAUCAGAUAUAUAUAAAGAAAAGGUAUGAAAUUGAUAAAUGUUUAAAAUGCGUUUCACACCUGUGGUUUGAGUGUGGAGAAAUCGAUGCCAGAUUUUGCUGCUUAAAUUUCAAUUUAAUUCCCUCGGGAUGACUGUUUCCAUAUCAAUUAGAACACAAGGUAUGUGGGCAAUCUUGGACCACUCUCGUCCUUUACCCCUACUGCACCCUUCUUCUAGCAACGGGCAACGCUGAAUACAUAGAUGCUCAAGCGAGAGAAGCAUAUCUUUUUCCGGAAGAGAUGUGAGCUUAGGACAAUCAUAGAUUCGCAAUUUUUGAAGAGAGGUCAGGUAUUGAAAGCCCUUGGAGCACAUGAAUUCCAAAUUCUCUGUAUUUAUAUUCAGAUAUAUAUAGUGGGUAAUUAAGCAUUUUAUUGACAUACAAUAACCUUUUAUGUUAAAUGUUCGAAUCUGGACUUGAGCUAAGAAUAAGUGUCGAAUAUCGAUAUAUAUUAAUAUAGAUGUGAUGAAUUUUUUAAAAUCGAGAAACAUUCCUCUUAUAUAAAUAUUCAAAUUUGUGUCAAACACGCAUAUAAAACAUAAUUACUUUAGAAAAAAAUGGAUUAAUAUAGGGAUAUAAAAUGUACCUGUAAUCGAGAUCUUUUAAGCUGCUCCAUUAGAAUUUGCUCCUACAACAAUAAAACUUCAGUUUCUAGUGCUCACAAUUAGGCUCCUAAUGAGAUUAUUUUAAGUUUGUGUUUGUAGGAGAGUUACUAAACAUACUAAAUUUAUGUUUGUUUGGAGUUAAUAUUGAUUAAAAUUAGAGAUAAUUUAUGGAUGAAAAUAUUAAUUUAUUUCAAAUGAUGAAGCAUAGCAACUUUAAUAAUGUUGAGGGAUUCGACCGGCGCAUUCAAGGAUGAUACUUCGAAGAUUUCCCUCAAAGGAACUGAUCUGUAGCCAAGUGGUACCAUAUACCCCAAUAAUUGACCUAUAUUCAAUAAGUUAGGGGUUCGAAUCUCACCAAGGGCGAGACGCUCAAGUCGCCUAUUGGUGGGUGGUUGUACGUUCAUAUACGGUCAAGGCGUCCCUCUUUGUGAACCGUACAUGGCUCUCCGUAAAGUGGGGGACAAAACCCUCUCCUAAGGGACAAUACUUUUCAUUGUUGAGAGACUGGAUCGAUAUCCCCAAAACCGAUUUUUUGAAAACUUCUCUUGGAGAAGCCAAUCCCCCUCAACAAAUAAAUUACACUACACAACCCUAUUUCGUCUUUUAAAAUUAUUAUUUUGUCCCUUGGGAUAUAUCCAUUAAUAUUUUCUGUAUUUCUAAUAUACAUGCUAGAUAUAUAUACUAAAAUGAUAUAUUUAUAUAAUAUGAGAAGCUUAUAUAUAUAAAUAUAAUUUGUAGUAAUAUUAAUGCCAGUACCUUUUGUUGCUCAACUGAUGCCAUCCCUUCGUUUAAUUGAUUCUCCAGCUGUUUUAAUUCUUUGAAACUCAAAUCAUCUAGUUCCUUUCCAAUUAAGCCUCCUGCAAAUCACACCUCAAAUUUUACCUAAUCAAAUACUUAUUUAUUUAUUUAUUUUUUUACGUAUUAACAACUAUCACUCGUAUUUAUACAUAUUCAGAUAUAUGUAUGAAGAUGUAAUUUCACAUUUUAUUUACCAUUCACAUUCAAAUCCAAAUAACAUAGACUUGAAGAUUUAUUUCUCACUCAUUAGUUAUUAUUUGUAAUUUCUUUUAUUUUCCUUACCAUUUUUUUUAAUUGUGAACGCUUAGUUGAAAUGACAAAAUUAAGGUUUUGAAGAUACGGGUAUCCUAAUGAUUUAUUUUGAAUUUAAACUAUUUUUUUUAUAGAUUUUAUAUAAAUACAUAAAUGAAAAACAAAAAGCAAACUCAUAAUAUUAUUUGUUAUCUUUUAAAUAAAAACCCUUUUUUAAAGUUAUUUUUCAACUAAAUUGAUCUUUAGUUAAACUCGUGGCUUCAACUUAGUUAGAUAACUAUAUAUAGUAUAAUUAACAAACAAUAAAAUUGAAAUUCACAUACAUGUAUGCUGUGUGUAGCCUUAAAUACUCAUGUUUCAUGGUGUUCACUUCAAUUCCUUGCAACUUCUGUUUUUUUAACAAAAAAAAACGCACACACAAUAUUAGAAAUAUAAUUAUUAUUUUCGAUCGAGUCUUAAUUCAAUUGGCAUUGAUAUUACUAUCUAUGCAAAGAGGACACUAAUUAAUAUAUAUACACACCUCAACUUGUUGCACAUCAAAAGGGUGUUCUUGAGAAUGAUCUUCUUCCAUUUCUUUGUUGUAUCUCGAAAGAGUAUGUUCCAUGCUACAUUCAUAAAAUGUCAUGUUUAAAAAAAUAACAAUAAAUUAAAAAUAAAAUUCUAACUCAUUAUUAGGGUUUAGGUUUUGGGCUUGAGUCGAUCAAAUUUAUGACAAGUUAUUCUUAGCUUAUCGUAACUAUUUAUGUAUCAAUUUUUGUUUUAAUACGAGUAUGUGUUGUUCUGUUUUAGUAUAUAGUUUCGUAAGUAUCAUUUUUAAAUAUUUCUUAAUUAUAAUAUGUAAAUAUAAAUUUUAAAAUUAUUAAUUAAGUUCAAUAAUUUAAUAAAUGGUUAUAUAUUAUUUUUUAAAGCAAUUAUAUAAAAAAGUAGUUAAGAAAGAAAAGGGAAAUAUUAAAAACUCCUUUAUAGGAAUUAAUACUCACCGAUACAAGCAUAUAUUAAUUGAAAUGAAUCAAAACUCAAUGAAAUUUUAAUUGAAGUGAAACUUAAAUCAUUUUAUUCUAGUUUAAUAUCGAGAUGAUUCGUAACGAUUGAUACAACCAGUAUCGAAACUACUGACUACCAUGCUACAAAGCGAAAAGAAAAAUAAUGAAAACCAAUCAAAUUACAACUCAACUUACUUUCAUGCUUUAAAAAAAACAGUUCUAAAAAUAAUCAUCCAAGAAAAUAAAUAUAUAUAAGUUUUAUAGACCGUUACAAACUAAUAUACACUCAUAUAAGUCGAUAUUAACUGAAACAAAUCAAAACACAAUAAAAUUUUAACUGAAACGAAACUUAAACUACUUUAUAUUAAUUCAAUAUUGAGACGAUAGCCAAUUAUUAAGAAAAGAAAAAUAAUGGAAAUCAAUCAAAUUAUAGGUCAACUUACUUUCAUGCUUAAAAAAAAAUGCUAAAAUUAAAAAUUGAAAAAAACCCAGAUUUCGAUUAUUAAAAAUAAUCUAUAAUAUAUAUAUAUAUAAGUAUUAUACUAUAUGAUAUACCUAGUGCUGGACCAUUGAUAGACCUUGCCGGUGCUUGAAAAAAUAAUAACCCCAACCUCUGCGUCACAUAAAAUGGACAAUUCUUUAGCUUUCUUCAACAACCCAUUUCGCCUCUUUGAAAACGUUACUUGCCUGCUAUUCAAAUUUUCAAUCUUUUUUAUUUCAAUUUUCCCUCUACCCAUCUCAAAAUUUUCUUCUUUCCUUUACUUUUUCCCGGAAAAUUUUUAAAAGAAAAGUUAAACCCCAGAUUUUUUUUCCUUAAAUUUUGAAAAAAAACCAAAGGUUUUUAUAACAACAAACAGAUCAAAGAAAAGAAGGCAAAAAAUUUAGGGGAUUGUAAAAGGAUUCUUUUUUUAAGAGAAAAGAAAAUAAGUAAGUAAUGUUUAUAUAUAACAGUUGUUUUCUUAAAUGGAAAUGGAAAAUGAUAUGGAAAAAGAAAAUAUGUGACCAAAAUUAGGGUGAAAUCUUGAAAGGUGACAGAUUUGAUACUAUAUCUACCAAUUAUCCAACUAUGGAAACUCUAUUUAUUAUACCUUUAGUUUUUUUUUUCUAUUUUUCUUAAUUUCUCUACCUUUUUACUCUCCUGUUUUUGGUAUUUCAACUCAAAAUGGAUUUUAUUUUUGCUUUGGGUUUCUUUUUUCAAAUAUAAAAAGUGGUUUUUAAUUAUUUAUAUAUUAUUAAUGUGUUUUAACAAUUUUUGUUAGUGAAUAUUGAUUUUUUUUUUGUGAAUUACAAUAGGAGGGCAAAGCCCUAAUAACAACACGACUAGAGCGAUUCGAAUUUAGGCCACACCUGAGACGUUGAACACAAGUAUUUCACGAGGACAUAUAACACAUGUUUUUUUUUUUAAAUUCAUGGCUAAAAUAAUAAAAAAAACCUCUUUAUUUUAUUGUAUUCAAAUAAUAAUAAAAAACCACAGUUUUAGUCGUACCGGCCGGUGCCGCCGUUCUACUGUUAUAGUGCAACAAGCAACACCCUUUUCCAUACUAAUGAAAAUUUUGGUUUGUACCGUUCGCAUUGGCCGGAACAUGGUACACCUGCUGCUGCAUAAAUAAUGUUAAAAAAUAUAAAACUUUUAACUAUUUUCUAUUAGACUAAAUAUUUAAUUGAAAUUGACCAAUAAAAAAAUUAUUGCACUAGAAAGUGAAGUUUAACAUUUAAAAUUUUUUUUGGAGCAUACUUUUUCAUUUAAGAUAUAAAAAUUAAAAUAUAAUAAAAAAACCCACUCACCUCGUUAUCAUAGAAAAAUCUUCACUCGCCCUUCAGUUUUUUUAUUGAAAAAACCCCCUCAUCCUUUGAUUUCUUUUUUUCUACUUAAUUUUAAAUUUAUUGAAUAAUGAGUUUUUACUUGUGGAGUUUAUUAAUCAAUAUUUUAUAUAAUUGAUGAAUAGUUUUAUAUUAAAAAUUCAUUUAUAAUAAUUUAUUUGAUAUUUGUAUAUUUAUUUAUAUAAAUAUAUUAAAUAUUUUUAAAAAAUAUCGAUAAAUUCAAACUGAUACAUAAAAUAGACUAAUACCAAUACAUACCGGUUCUCAUAGAAAAGUGGUACUUAUACCAAUGUGGUAAUGACUACCUUGAAAGCAAGUAUGUGGGUGGCUAUAAUGUUUGAUGCUUUGUUUUCUUUGAAUAUUUUGCUUUGAUGCUUUUGAUCUGUGCUGAUCUUUGAGUGUUACCAUUGGGAUAUAUAUGGCUAUCUAAAUUUUUAUGAUUUGCUAUGCAUUGAUUGUGGUUGUUUUAUUAAUAAAUUUAUAUUUUGGAUUGAGAAAAAAAAGAAAAAGGGAUUCGAAACACAAAAAAAAAAGUAGAGAAAGUGAACACAAUAAUAUACGUGGUUAGGGAAUAUUCCCUACAUCCACGGGCAGAACUGAAAAUGAAAUUCACUACUAAAAAUUGGAGAUUACAAUGGAAUUACAUCAUAAAAAUAAAAUACCUUGCCACUAACUAUCUACAAACUUUGAAUGGAUUCAUGGUCUGAGAAAUUCUGAAAACUAAGAAGGACAUCUUUGAGAUUCGACAGAACAAUAUUUUGGGAACUUUGUUGUCUUACAUGUGUUAAAUUGAGCUCUCUAAUGCCAUGUUGUAACGUGUACUGUAUCCCUCCAUUCAUCCUGCAAGGAUCAAUAUCAUGUCUUCAGUGAUGACAAAAUCUGUUGGCACUGAUAUCCUUAUGCAAUAACAGAAAUCUAUCCACAAAGAUCAACAAACUAUCACGUAAAAGACUUUUUCUUCUGAAACACCAUUGGUUAAUAGUAUAAUGAAAUCUCAAAUACUUUUAACUAAAAUCCCAUUCCCAUAUACCAGUUUCAUAGCAGCUGCUUAGAAACUAGAAGAUGCAGAUGAAAACAGAACAUUCAAUUUGCUGAAUAAAUGUUGCAGAGAAUUGACUAACCGACUUUACUAAAUCAAAUAAGCUGAAGCAAACCAGUUGAAGGUCUCCUCUAUUUUUCGCCAGUUUAGCCUUCAAUGCCUGCAAAAAGUAAAUACAAAAUAUAUAACACUGAUUUCUAUUAUCAUGUUGUUCAUGAGGACAGUCAGAUAUAUAUAAAGUCAUGAGGACAAUCAGAUAUAUAUAAAGAAAAGGUAUGAAAUUGAUAAAUGUUUAAAAUGCGCUUCACACCUGUGGUUUGAGUGUGGAGAAAUCGAUGCCAGAUUUUGCUACUUCAAUUAAAUUUAAUGCCCUCGGAGAGAUGACUUUGCAUAUCAAUUCGAACAUAAGGUAUGUGGGCAAUCUUAAACCACUCUCGUCCUUUACCCCUACUGCACCCUUCUUGUACCAACGGGCAACGCUGUAUACAUAAAUACUCAAGCGAGAGAAGCAUAUCUUUUUCCGGAAGAGAUGUGAGCUUAGGACAUUGAUAGAUUCGCAAUUUUUGAAGAGAGGUCAGGUAUUGAAAGCCCUUGGAGCACAUGAAUUCCAAAUUCUCAAAAUUUUCAAUGGAAAUAAAUGUGAGAGAAGGAGGCAGCGUCAUUCCUAUCCCUUCUUCUGGAAACGACACCACAUUUGAGCAUCCUUCACCGCUGAUGUUGAGUCGCUGAAGAGAGGUAAGUCUGUUAAAUCCCCAUUGAACAAGUGAUGUAUAAAUUUUGGGUGCGUUUGAGAUUGCAAGUGAUGUGAGGUUGGCAGGGAAACCCUCUUCUGGAAAGGAUAUGUCAGCCGAACAAUAAGACACCUUCAAUUCUCGAAGGGAGGUGAAGUUGUUGAUGCACUUGGGAAGGACUCCAAAAUUUUCACAAUUCUCAAUUGCGAAAACUCUGAGAUUUGUGGUGGGCAACCCACUUUCUUCAAAUGAAACCAGAUUUGGACACCUAGAUAAUUUAAUCUCCUGAAGAUGGCUGAGCUUGUCUAAUCCCCGCGGUAAUGAUUUAAUUUUUUCAGCACCACGAAUGCCAAUGCUUUCGAGAUCAAUGGUUUCAAAGAAGUCUUGGGCUAUGCAUUCCAACACUGGACAAUCCCAAAUAAAUAGCUGUUUAAGCAUUACGGGUAACUUGGCGUUUAAAAAUAACCUAGUUAGCUUUUAACAACUUUCAAUUUCGAGAUGUUGAAGUCGAUUGCAUAUAUCGCCCCUUGAUAAUAACCAUAUUAGAGAUGGACAGCUUCUUAUUACUAAGUGCUCAAGAAGACAAGUGUUGCUACUCAUACUCUUAUUAUUAUUUUCUUUUUCAUCAACCAAAUAUUGCAAAUUCACGCAAUUCCCAAUCCUCAGCUCUUUUAAUGCAGGAGGAAAGUUACUCUCUGCAAAACAAACCAAGCCGGGACACGCUGCAAGUGUUAUUCUUGUAAUGAAUGGGAAAGCAUGUAAGGCUUCUGGUAGUCUAUUGAGCCUUCCACAAUUAUCUAUUGCCAGAGAUUCAACACCUGGAAUCUUGUCAAGUUGCAAUCUCUCCUCCUCUGUUUCCAAAGAGACCAAUUGGGGACAAUCCGCAAUACUAAUAAAACGAUGCCCGACUAAUCUUAACCCAAUUUGCGAUAAAGAUCCCAACUCCUUCCAACCAGAGACGUUGAAUCUUUCGGAGUUUGCAAACCUCAACAUUAUCCUCUCUGCUGAAAUGUUAAAAUUUGAAAUAUUUGAAACACACAAACUUUUAAAGGAGGUAACCUUCUGUACGGACAAAGAACCUUCAUCCACCAAUUCUUCACACCCUUCAACCCAUAUUUUACGCAGCAAGGGAAAACAAGAAAUUGAAACUACCAGUCUCUUACAGUUGUAGAUUUCAAGCGUCUGCAAGGAUUGAAGGAUGGUUGGCAACCUUCCCAGCAAUAGAGGACAUUUUCUGAUUGAAAGAAAACGAAGGCUGGGGAAUUUCGAUACUUGCUCAUCAUCUUCACAUAGGUCCCACUCCUCCCAAUUCAGCAUAUUGCCAAAACGCAGAGACUCUAAUGAUGCAAAAGUAUUUGAUUGAUUUUCUCCAAACAUCUCAGCACCAAUCUUGUGUACUUGAUCCAAACCACUAAUUGAAAGAUCUUUUAACAACAACAACCUUCCAAUCGAUGGUAGAGAUUUGCAAUUUUUACAGUCGUGAAGCUCCAAUGACAACAUAUUUUUGAAGGAAGGAUCUGCAAUCCAAGUAGAGAAUUUUGCACCACCAUAAUUCUCAAUGACGAGUUGCUCAAGCUUUUUUGGAGGACAAAGAGAGUCCAACACCCAUUCUUCAACUUCUUUAUUCCUUGAAGCAUUUUCAAACUUUUUCCUCCAAUGCAAUACCAGUCGAUCAAUCCCCUGCUUCUCAUAUAACUUGCUUUCCCCUGCAUCUUCACCAUUAACAUUCUCCAACCCAGAAAGACGGAAAUCACCUUCGAGGUUUGACAAAUAUUUCAAACCUCUAAUAUAACUACCAUCACCUUCCCCUAUUAUAAAAUCAGUUAAACUUUGAAGAUUCGUUAGCUUAUCAAUUCUAAAAGGAAUCCUUUCUAUUGAGUUCGCACCUCUGAUAUCAAGAUAAUGCAAGUUGACAAGAUUUCCCAUCUUUGAAGGUAACAUUUGAAGCUUGUAACACCACCUUAAUAAUAAGGUUUCUAAAUGGUAAAGAGUGCACAAAGAAUCUGGUAGGCAUUUGAUUUUUGUGCUCGAAAAAUUUAAGUAGCGAAGAUGUUUUAAAUUUUCAAAAACAUCAGGCAACUCAGUGAUUAUAUACCCACUCAAAGAAAGCAUCCUUAGGUAGCCAAGUCUUGGUAACAAAUCAUCCAAAACAACAUUAGUUAAAAAAGGGGCCCGAUAAUCACACAUUAAGGGUAAAAAAGUACGUAGAGAAUUCACUUGAUCAAAUGCUUCAAACUUCUUCACUGUGUCAUAUGUUCCAACAAUAUAAGAAGAAUGUCGAGUGCGAUUUGAGAACUUCCAUUUCUUAUCACCCUCUAAUUUUGAGCAUAUUUCCCCUGCAACUACUUGAGCUAAAUCAUUGAUAAGGUCAUGCAUUACGAAUCGGGACUUAUCUUUACUGGAUGUUUGAAAGAAUCGGGACUUAUAUUUACUGGAUGUCUGAAAAAAUGACCUGGACACUAGAUCUUGAAAAUAUUGAUUUCCGAGAUCUUUAAUUUGAGGCAUAGCUUUUUGUUGCAAGAGACCUUCUGCUCUCCAUAACAAGAUAAUUUCUUCUUCCCCAAAUUCAUAGUCUUUAGGAAGUAUGGAGCAAUAUGCAAAACAUCGUUUCAAGUAUGACGGAAGAUGAUGGUAGCUUAACCGCAAAGCUGGAAUUAUGCCACACUGCUCUUCUGGUAAGUUCCAUAUCUCACUCUCAUAUAGUCUUUCCCAUUUUCCAUGAUAUUUAACCGUGCGAAGCAAGCUUCCAAUGACUUUUGCAGCCAAAGGUAAGCCAUUGCACCUUCUAACAAUUUUCUUUCCAAUUUCUUUAAACUGGAGAUGUCCAUCGAAAUUUCUUGCUUUUAAUGCAUGCUGUGUAAAUAUGGAUAAACAAUCAUCAUCCG